CAUUGCUUCAUAUCAUCUUCUUCUUCACCAAUUGUCUUAGGCAGCCAUGGAAAUGGAGAAACCAACCCUGCAACUCUUGGCCAGCAGCUGCAAAUAAUUUGGUUAGUAAUUUCCUUGUUUGGUGUGUUAAUUCUUUAGAAUACCUUUGUUAAUUACCCAUUAAUUUUAAGAAGGGGGCGUGACCAGUAGCUUAGGAAGUUUGUUUUAGUUAUUGAAUGUGCUAAGUAUUAACAGAAACCAUAAUCGGAUUAUUAGUGGUGUCGUGUUGGUGCUUGGGCUGUUUUGAUUAAAGCAAACUGCGGGAAAAUUCUGUUUUGGCAUUAUGUAUAUGUUAAAUGUGAUUAUGAGUAUAUAAUCCAAAGGAUGAAUACAAUAAGGUAGAUGUGUUGCGAAUUAUAAAACGAAUUAUCGCUCGGUGUGUCGUUGCUUCGCUGCUAUGGUUGCCGAGACGAAACUGUAUUGGGGAGGGAGCUGUUUAAUAUGAUUUGUUGGGUUAUAUGUGUUAUUGGUAUUGUUGUGGAUAAUUUGGGUUGUUGUCGGAUUGGGACGAAGUAAGGAAAAUAGGGGAAGUGCUGCCGAAUUUUCGUUUGAUUAUUAGCUAGCUUACAAGAAAGUAAAGCGCGAUGUUUAUCUAAUUGCGGCACGAUUGUUGCUUGUUAUAGAUUAAUAGCUUGAGCAGUAAAUAUUGGACGUGCGGCUCGAUUAUACGGUAUGUAACGCUGUCCCUUCUUUCUUUGUUUGGCAUGACUUUUAAAAAUAAGCAAAUAACGGACAGGUUUGAUACGUACCUCUAGAGCGUCUAGGUGACGUAUAUUCUUUCUUCCACAAUUAUUCCUCUAUAUAUCGGCUAUGUCUAAGGCUAUGAUGAUCUCUCAUAUCUAUGGUAGUGCUUCUUAGAGUCAUUGAGAUUUUACGUUUCCAUAUCGUAUUAAAGGUUCAUAAUCUUGAUAAAACAUUAAUCUUUGGUAAUACUCCUUGCUGGUUCACGUUGAUUGUUCUAUUGAGUUAUAAGAAAUGAUUUUAAUUGCAUAUGGUUGCUCAUAAUAUUCUGCUCGUGCAUAGAGUCAUUUAUCAUUUCACCGAGUCCCGGGCCGGGUAAUGUUCGUGCGGAGUUUCUUGCAUAUGUCACCGAGUUCCUCACUAGAGGGCCGGGUAUGUAUAUUAUAUAUAUGAUUGGUGAUGAGGAUGGUUAUGAUGAUGAUGAUGACGGAGAUGACGUGAUGAUUAUUUUGCCGAGCGCCUUACUAGGGAAGCUGGGCACCAUAUAUGUUAAAUAUAUGCAUGAUUUUCACUUAAAAGGGUAUAUGUGUAGCGAUAUUUUGUUUCGACUUGCCAUAUUGGUAUCCUGUCAUCUUUACCUUAUACUUUACAUACUCAGUACAUUGUCCGUACUGACCCCCCCUUUCCUCGGGGGGGCUGCGUUUCAUGCCCGCAGGUGUAGACGCACAGUUCGGUGAUCCUCCCGCCUAGGAUAUCUACUCUGCUGAUUGGGAGAGCUCCACUGUUCCGGAGCCCAGUCGUUUUGGUACAUAACUUUUUGUGUAGUCUUUUGCUCGUCUAUGGGUAUGGCGGGGCCCUGUCCCGUCGAGUUUCAUUACUGUACUCUUAGAGGUCUGUGGACAUUAUGUAGGUUGUAUAUAUAUGUUUUGGGUAAUGGUCUGGACAUGGUUUAUUUGGGAUGUCCGCUUGUACAGGGGCAGCCUUGUCGGCUGCGUACAUCAUUGUGUAUUGCGUAGUGGCAACCUUGUCGGCUUACGUAUGUUAUUAUGCUUUGAAUAGUGGCGGCCUUGUCGGCUCGCGUAUGUCGUUACAGUUGAAUGGUUAUGACUCCUUACGAGACAGGUCCUCUUUAUAUAUAUAUGACGUUGGGGUUGGCUUGAUUUGAUUAAAUUCCAUAUUGUCUUAGUUUCAGUUGGUUAUACUUAGCAGGUUUGUAUGUGGGUGUCCAAAACGGGCACUAGUCACGGCCCAUCGGGUUGGGUCGUGACAAAGAGUGGUAUCAGAGCGGUUCUUCCUCGGAAGUGUCUACAGACCGUGUCUAGUAGAGUCUUGUUUAUCAGUGUGUUGUGCACCACAUCUAUAAACAGGAAGCUACAGGACAUUUAGGAUGUCAUUCUUUCUUCUUAUUCUAGAUCGUGCGAUAGAGCUAUAUUAACAGGAUAAUCCCUCUCUAACGAAUCCGUGUGUUUUCAGCUAUGCCUCCAAAGAAAGCGACAACGGCCCAGAAGGGAAAAUCGGUAGCAGAAGGUACUAGUCAGACCCGAAGAGUUACUAGGGCCCGUGCCCAGUCUAUGCGUGGUAUUAUGCUCCAGUCGGAGAGCUCUGCUACACCGCCACCGCCAGAGGAGCUUAGAGCAGCAGCAACUCCAAUUCGGGGGACACCACCAGCCCCCGAGGCCCCAACACCUUAACCUCCAGCUCCUCAGUCAGGGGCGGAGGAUAGGGCCAUGAGAGAUGCGGUUCAAUUGCUGACUAGAUUAGUGGCAGAUCAGGCUCGCAGGCAUGGACUAGGAGUUGAUCAUGCGGACAGAUCUGAUAGCUUAAGGGCUCGUGACUUCUUAAGUUGUAAUCCUCCAGAGUUCUUUGGGUCAAGACCCCAGGAUGAUCCGCAAGAGUUUAUUCGUCGAAUGCAGCGUACAUUGAGGAUAAUCAAGGCUUCGGAGACCGAGUCUGUUGAGUUGGCUACGUACCGUUUGCGGGAUGUAGCUAUUAAUUGGUAUGAGUCUUGGGAGUUAUCUAGGGGUGAGGGUGCUCCUCCAGCAGUAUGGGAUGAAUUUGUGGAGGAUUUCCAGGGCCACUUCCUGCCUCCAGAGAUGAAGCGAGCUAGAGUCGAUAGAUUCUUGCAUUUGAAGCAAAAUGGCAGGAGCGUUCGAGAGUAUAGCCUCGAGUUUGAUUCAUUGGCUAGGCAUGCGCCUACUAUUGUGGCUGAUAUGGCAGACAGGGUACAUCGUUAUGUGAUGGGAUUGGAUCGUUAUAUGAUUGAUGGUUGUAUGGCAGUGACUCUUCAGCCAAGUAUGGACAUUGCUCGGGUGCAGGCAUAUGCACAGGGGGUAGAGGAUCGGCACCGGGGACGUCAGCCAGAUAGAGAUUAUAAUAGAGGCCAGCAUAAGAGGGCUAGAUCAGCAGGUUAUCCUGACGAGUUUCGAAGCGGGCAGUCUCAGUAGCAUGUUAGAUUUUCUUCCCAGCCAGCACAGAGUGCACCCCCACGUUUCAUGGGUAGGGGGUUCGAUCGUAUGGGAUAUUCAGAAGCUGGUCAGAGCUCUAGGGCGUUAGGGUCACAGAUGGGCAGGAGUUUGAGCCAGUCGAGGCCACCUUUGCCUCAGUGUUCUCAUUGUGGUAAGUCCCAUCCUGGGGAAUGUCGUUGGGCUACAGGUGCGUGUUUUUCUUGCGGCCGUCAGGGCCAUACUAUGAGGGAGUGUCACCUUAGAGGUAGUGCAGGUGGUAUGGCACAGCCUACAGGGUCCGUUGCUGGUUCAUUUUCUUCUGUGGCUAUGCGCCCUACGGGGCAGGGUAUUCAGGCGCCAGCAGGCCAUGGUAGAGGACGUGGUGGAGCUUCCAGUUCUAGCAGUGCCUCGAACCGUAUAUAUGCUUUGACUAAUAGGCAGGAUCAGGGGGUGUCACCUAAUGUGAUCACAGGUAUAUUAUCACUAUUCUCCCGAAGUGUGUAUACAUUGAUAGACCCAGGUUCCACCUUAUCAUAUAUAUCUCCCUUUGUUGCUAGUAGGAUCGGAAUAGAGUAUGAGUUGAUAGAACCAUUUGAGGUAGCUACACCUGUAGGAGAUUUUGUCAUAGCUACGCGAGUAUAUAGGAAUUGUUUAGUAGUUAUAUAUAGUCGUCGUACCGUAGCAGAUCUAAUAGAGUUAAAUAUGAUUGAGUUUGAUAUUAUCAUGGGCAUGGAUUGGUUGGCUGCUUGUUAUGCUAAUGUUGAUUCAGAGGAAAGAUAGUUCGAUUUCAAUUUCCAGGGGAACCGAUUAUAGAGUGGAAGAGAAGUACAGUAUCGCCGAAAGGUAAGUUCAUUUCAUACCUCAAGGCCGGGAAGAUGGUUAGAAAAGGCUAUAUGUACCAUCUUAUUCGGGUGCAUGACAUAAAGGCAGAGGCACCGACUCUUCAAUCAGUCCCGGUAGUUAAUGAAUUUCCCGAUGUAUUCCCCGAGGAACUUCCAGGACUUCCUCCAGAACGAGAGAUAGAGUUUACUAUAGAUGUACUGCCAGAUGCCCAGCCUAUAUCUAUACCUCCUUAUAGAAUGGCACCUGCUGAGUUGAAAGAAUUGAAAGAGCAAUUGAGGGAUUUGCUAGAAAAGGGCUUCAUCAGGCCUAGUACGUCACCUUGGGGAGCACCGGUACUGUUUGUGAGGAAGAAGGAUGGGUCUCUGCGGAUGUGCAUUGAUUAUAGGCAGUUGAACAAAGUAACAAUAAAGAACAGGUAACCCCUCCUAAGGAUUGACGAUCUAUUUGACCAGUUGCAGGGUGCAAAGUGUUUUUCAAAGAUAGACUUGCGGUCAGGUUAUCAUCAGGUGCAGGUAAGGGAGGCAGAUAUUCCAAAGACGGCAUUCCGAACCAGAUAUGGGCAUUAUGAGUUUAGAGUGCCGUCUUUUGGGCUGACUAAUGCUCCAGCGGUGUUCAUGGAUUUAAUGAAUCGAGUAUUUAAACCAUUCCUUGAUAUGUUUGUUAUUGUAUUUAUAGACGAUAUUCUGGUCUAUUCACGUUCAGAAGAGGAGCAUGCAGACCAUUUAAGGACGGUACUUAGGGUGCUUCAGCACCAGAAGUUGUAUGCUAAAUUUUCUAAGUGCGAGUUCUGGUUGACUUCAGUGGCAUUCUUGGGGCAUAUUAUUGGACCUGAUGGUAUUCGGGUAGACACGCAGAAGAUUGAGGCGGUAAAGACUUGGCCCAGACCUACGACACCUACUGAGGUACGCAGCUUUCUGGGGUUAGCAGGAUAUUACAGGAGAUUUAUAGAAAAGUUUGCCUCAAUUUCAGCGCCUUUGACAAGGCUAACUCAAAAGGCAGCCAAGUUCCAGUGGACUGAUGCUUGUGAGCGAAGCUUCCAGCUAUUAAAAGACAAAUUGACUACAGCUCCAGUCCUAACUCUUCCGGAGGGAUCAGAUGGCUAUGUUAUUUAUUGUGAUGCUUCGGGUGUUGGGCUAGGAUGUGUAUUGAUGCAGCAUGGCAAAUUUAUAUCCUAUGCCUCCCGACAACUUAGGAAGCAUGAAAAGAACUAUCCUACUCAUGAUCUGGAGUUAGCGGUCGUGGUUCAUGCCUUGAAGAUAUGGAGACAUUAUUUAUAUGGUGUCCAUGCGGACAUCUAUACAGAUCAUAAGAGUCUCCAAUAUAUCUUUAAACAGAAGGAGCUGAACUUACGACAGAGGCGGUGGUUAGAGUUGCUAAAGGAUUAUGAUGUUGAUAUUUUAUAUCAUCCAGGGAAAGCGAAUGUUGUAGCAGAUGCUCUUAGCCGUAAGUCCAUGGGUAGCUUGACAGAUGUACAACCAGAAAGGAGGGAUAUGGUUCGGGAGAUUCAGCGGCUAUCCAGCCUUGGAGUCCGUCUAGCUAAUUCAGAAGAUAGUGGAGUUUCUAUUCGAGAGGUUGUUGAGUCCUCAAUCAUAGAUGAUGUAAAGAGACACCAAUACAAGGACCCUAUUCUGGCAAAAUAUAGAGAUGCAGCUCUUCAAAAUGAAAAGACCCCAUUUAAGGUUACACCUGACGGAGUAUUACGAUAUGAAGGCAGAUUGUGUGUACCCAAUACUGUGGGGCUACGACGGUAGGUUAUGGGAGAGGCACACUCUGCCCGUUAUUCUAUUCACCCAGGGUCAACAAAAAUGUAUCAUGACCUCAGAUGCUUAUAUUGGUGGGAUGGCAUGAAAAAAGACAUAGCGGAGUUUGUUGCUCAGUGCCCGAAUUGUCAACAAGUCAAGAUUGAACAUCAAAAGCCUGGUGGAUUAUUACAGGAGAUAGAGAUCCCGACUUGGAAAUGGGAGAUGAUUAAUAUGGACUUCAUUACAGGCUUACCUCGCACUCAACGAAAGUAUGACUCUAUAUGGGUUAUUGUAGAUAGGCUGACGAAAUUGGCCCAUUUUCUUCCAGUUAGGACUACUUAUUCGGCUGAAGAUUAUGCGAGGUUAUAUGUCAGGGAGAUAGUGAGACUUCAUGGGUUCCCACGUCCAUUACAUCAGACAGAGGAGCUCAAUUUACAGCCAACUUUUGGAGAUCGUUUUAGAAGGGAUUGGGGACACAGGUGAACCUUAGCACAACAUUUCACCCUCAAACUGAUGGGCAGGCUGAGCGUACUAGAAGAUAUGUUGCGGGCCUGUAUUAUUGACUUCAAAGGUAGCUGGGAUGACCACUUGCCGCUCAUUGAGUUUGCCUAUAACAAUAGCUACCAUUCUAGUAUCCAGAUGGCUCCGUACGAGGCCUUAUAUGGGAGGAAGUGCAGAUCACCUAUUGGUUGGUUUGAUGUUGGCGAGACAAAGUUAAUAGGCCCGGAUGUGAUUCAGCAAGCUGUUGACAAGGUGAAGCUUAAUCAAGAAAGAUUAUUAGCAGCCCAGAGUCGACAAAAGUCAUAUGCAGAUAAUCAGCGUCGAGAUUUGGAGUUUCAGAUUGGUGACUGGGUAUUCCUGAAGGUAUCACCCAUGAGGGGUGUGAUGAGAUUCGGCAGGAAGGGGAAGCUCAGUCCGAGAUACAUUGGGCCUUAUCAGAUUGUUCGUAGGAUAGGCAAGGUUGCCUAUGAGUUGGAUCUACCAUCUGAUUUGGAGGCGGUACAUCCAGUCUUCCAUGUAUCGAUGCUACGUAAAUGUAUUGGUGAUCCUUCUAGAGUAUUCCCCGUAGAUGAUGUUUAGGUAACAGAGGAGUUGUCAUAUGACGAGAAACCCGUAGCUAUACUUGAUCGCCAGGUUAGAAGGUUACGUAUUAAGGAUGUGGCUUCCGUCAAAGUGUUGUGGCAAAAUAACAAUAGGGAGGAGAUGACUUGGGAAGCGGAAGAUGAAAUGAAGAAUAAGUAUCCUUACUUGUUCCCCGUACCUGCAGGUAAUUCAAUUCCUAGCUUGACUAUAUUGAUAGAUAAUGAGAUUAUGUAGCUGUGAGGAAUCUGUAAGUUACAGAAUGCAGGUUAAUAGGUAUAACUUUUAGAGAGACCUCGCUGGAAUUUGUUUUUGCAAGACGCUAACUUAACAUUCGAGGACGAAUGUUCCUAAGGGGGGAAGGAUGUUAUGCCUCGUAUUUUUUUAUACGUAGUGCGCAUCGUGAUCUAGUAGACGUAAGUCCGGGGAAUGAGAUUUUAUUUUAAGUUCCAAGUGAUUAAAGAAAUAUUAGGCAAGGAUGUUAAUUCCAAAUGUGAUAUUAAGUAUGAUUUUGCUAAUGUAAGUGUCAUUAACUUUAAGUGAGGGAUUAAUUAGUGGGUUAUUAGGAUUAAUUUAAUCCGGGGGCCCCACCACUCAUAAUUGGUGGCUGAUUAAUAUUUAAUUCAGUGGGCCCACCACUCAAGGCAAAAAAUUAAAAAGAUCAGAUUAUGAGCUGGCCUUAGUGGACAGGUGUAGAGGGGGGAUGCCUCCACUUCAUACUAUUAAAUGAGGUGGAGAAAUCCACUCCAUGCUAAAUAAAGUGGUGAAAUGCAUUGCUGCAUAUCAUCUUCUUCUUCACCAAUUGUCUUAGGCAGCCAUGGAAAUGGAGAAACCAACCCUGCAACUAUUGGCCAGCAGCUACAAAUAAUUUGGUUAGUAAUUUCCUUGUUUGGUGUGUUAGUUCUUUAGAAUACCUUUGUUAAUUACCCAUUAAUUUUAAGAAGGGGGCGUGACCAGUAGCUUAGGAAGUUUGUUUUAGUUAUUGAAUGUGCUAAGUAUGAACGGAAACCAUAAUCAGAUUAUUAGUGGUGUCGUGUUGGUGCUUGGGCUGUUUUGAUUAAAGCAAACUGCGGGAAAAUUCUGUUUUGGCAUUAUGUAUAUGUUAAAUGUGAUUAUGAGUAUAUAAUCCAAAGGAUGAAUACAAUAAGGUAGAUGUGUUGCGAAUUAUAAAACGAUUUAUCGCUCGGUGUGUCGUUGCUUCGCUGCUAUGGUUGCCGAGACGGAAUUGUUUUGGGGAGGGAGCUCUUUAAUAUGAUUCGUUGGGUUAUAUGUGUUAUUGGUAUUGCUGUGGAUAAUUUGGGUUGUUGUCGGAUUGGGACGAAGUAAGGAAAAUAGGGGAAGUGCUGCCGAAUUUUCGUUUGAUUAUUAGCUAACUUACAAGAAAGUAAAGCGCGAUGUUUAUCUAAUUGCGGCACGAUUGUUGCUUGUUAUAGAUUAAUAGCUUGAGCAAUAAAUAUUGGACGUGCGGCUCGAUUAUACGGUAUGUAACGCUGUCCCUCCUUUCUUUGUUUGGCAUGACUUUUAAAAAUAAGCGAAUAACGGACAGGUUUGAUACUUACCUCUAGAGCGUCUAGGUUAUGUAUAUUCUUGCUUCCACAAUUAUUCCUCUAUAUAUCGGCUAUGUCUAAGGCUAUGAUGAUCUCUCAUAUCUAUGGUAGUGCUUCUUAGAGUCAUUGAGAUUUUACGUUUCCAUAUCGUAUUAAAGGUUCAUAAUCUUGAUAAAACAUUAAUCUUUGGUAAUUCUCCUUGCUGGUUCACGUUGAUUGUUCUAUUGAGUUAUAAGAAAUGAUUUUAAUUACAUAUGGUUGCUCAUAAUAUUCUGCUCAUGCAUAGAGUCAUUUAUCAUUUCACCGAGUCCCGGGCAGGGUAAUGUUCAUGCGGAGUUUCUUGCAUAUGUCACCGAGUUCCUCACUAGAGGGCCGGGUAUGUAUAUUAUAUAUAUGAUUGGUGAUGAGUAUGGUUAUGAUGAUGAUGAUGAUGACGGAGAUGACGUGAUGAUUAUUUUGCCGAGCCCCUUACUAGGGAAGCUGGGCACCUUAUAUGUUAAAUAUAUGCAUGAUUUUCACUUAAAAGGGUAUAUGUGUAGCGAUAUUUUGUUUCGACUUGCAAUAUUGGUAUCCUGUCAUCUUUACCUUAUGCUUUACAUACUCAGUACAUUGUCCGUACUGACCCCCCUUUCCUCGGGUGGGGGGGGCUGCGUUUCAUGCCCGCAGGUGUAGACGCACAGUUCGGUGAUCCUCCCGCCUAGGAUAUCUACUCUGCUGAUUGGGAGAGCUCCACUGUUCCGGAGCCCAGUCGUUUUGGUACAUAACUUUUUGUGUAGUCUUUUGCUCGUCUAUGGGUAUGGCGGGGCCCUGUCCCGUCGAGUUUCAUUACUGUACUCUUAGAGGUCUGUGGACAUUAUGUGGGUUGUAUAUAUAUGUUUUGGGUAAUGGUCUGGACAUGGUUUUUUUGGGAUGUUCGCUUGUACAGGGGUAGCGUUGUCGGCUGCGUACAUCAUUGUGUAUUGCGUAGUGGCAGCCUUGUCGGCUUACGUAUGUUAUUAUGCUUUGAAUAGUGGCGGUCUUGUCAGCUCGCGUAUGUUGUUUUGGUUGAAUGGUUAUGACUCCUUACGAGACAGGUCCUCUUUAUAUAUAUAUGACGUUGGGGUUGGCUUGAUUUGAUUAAAUUCCAUAUUGUCUUAGUUUCAGUUGGUUAUACUUAGCAGGUUUGUAUGUGGGUGUCCAAAACGGGCACUAGUCACGACCCAUCGGGUUGGGUCGUGACAGUAGUGGCGCCAUAUUUUUAAAUCAAACACAACUGCUGCUAGCUCUAGAUCACGGGUUGAAUAUUUUUUCUUUGUGGCAGCAGCUGCCUUGAGCCAUAAGCAAGAACUUUACGACGCUGCAUCAAUCCACAACCGAAUCCCACUCCCGAAGCAUCACAGUACACUAUAUAACCUUCUGUAAGUACCAACACAUGUGUAGAUGUUGAUUUACUCUUCAACUCUUGGAAGCUUCUUUCACACUCAGAGCUCCACUAAACUUUGGUUUCUUUGUGUGUUAAUGUUGUUAAGGGUGCAGCCAUGGAAGAGAAUCCUUCAACAAACAUUUGUAAUAACCUGCCAAUCCAAGAAAACUAAGGAUCUCCGUACGCGUUGUAGGUCUUGGACAACUUUUCAUGGCUUCCAUUUUCUAGUUAUCAACCUUAUUCCUUCCUCAUAUACAAUAUGACCUAGGAAUGCCACAGAUUUCAACCAGAACUCACAUUUAGAGAACUUUGCAUACAAAUUAACGACCACAGAGAAUUUGUAAAAACUGCCGCAAGUGAUUAGCAUGAUCCUCUUCAGAUCUUGAAUACACCAAAAUGUCAUCUAUGAACACUAUUAGGAAAACAUCUAAAAAUGGCUUGAACACCCUAUUCAUCAAAUCCAUAAAAGCUGCUAGUGCAUUUGUUAGACCGAAUGACAUGACUAAGAACUCAAAAAUGACCAUAUCUUAUUUGGAAAGUGGUCUUUGGUAUAUGUUUCUCCUUGACCCUCACAUGGUGAUAACCUGACCUCAGGUCGAUCUUUGAAAAACACCUAGCACCUUGUAAUUGAUCAAGAAAAUCAUCAAUUCUAUGGACGGGAUAUUUGUUCUUAAUCAUUACCUUAUUCAACUGCCGGUAUUCGAUACACAUUCUUAAUGAGCCAUCUUUUUUGCGUACAAAUAAAUCUGGUGCUCCCCAUGGGGACAUACUAGGCCUUCUGAAUCCUUUUUCUAAUAAGUCUUUUAAUUGCUCCAUAAACUAUAGCAAUUCUGCCAGAGCCAUUCUACACGGAGGAAUUGAGAUAGGUUGAGUAUCUUGAAGUGCAUCAAUUCCGAACUCUACUUCUCUUUCUAGAGGCAAACCUGGAAGAUCUUCGGGAAACACAUCUUGAAAUUCAUUAACCAACGGAAUGGAUUUAAGGUUUGGUGGCUCCACAUCUACAUUUUCACUCUAAGCAGAUGGCAUAUGUAUCCUUUGGACAUCAUCUUCUUUUCCUUAAGAUAAGAAAUAAAUUUACCUCUUGGCACCCCAAUAUUACCUUUCCAUUCGAAGACUACCUCUUUUGGAAACUGGAAAUGCACUAUCUUAGUUUGGCAAUCUACAGUAGCAUAAAAAGAAGCUAACCAAUGCAUACCCAUUAUAACAUCAAAAUAUACCAUGUCUAUCCCAACAAGGUCAACAAAUGUAUCGCGACCACAAACAGUUACAAUGCAAUUACAAUAAACCCUUCUAGCUAUAAUAGACUCACCAAACAGUGUAGAUACAUCAAAUGGCUUCACUAAUAAUUCUGGUGUUCUUUUGAACUUUUUAGCAAUCAAUGGUGUAACAUAUGAUAGUGUAGACCCCGGAUCAAUUAAUGCAUAUACAAUAUGUGAAUAGAUGGACAAUGUCCCUUUAACCACAUCUGGCGAGGCUUCUGAAUUUUUUGGAUCCCCUAGUGCAUAUGUGCGAUUCUGACCUCCACUAGAAUAGUUGCUCCCCUAGCUCCUCUACCAUGACCUGUAGUCGUAUGUAGGCCCCUACCUAAAGAAGGGAUUGAUGAGGUCGACACAGCAACUGAUCUAGUUAGUUGUGCAACGUCAUCCACUUCCCUAUGAAGGCAGUUUCUCAUCAUAUGCCCUGGUGUACCACACCAAAAACAAACAUCCGUCCCAAACUUGCAUGCACCUAGAUGAUUCCUCCCACAGUAUUUACAAGGCUGUAAUGUAGGCCUUGAUUGGAUCAUACUUCCCUCCCCUUGAUUACUUGCUAUUUGUGAGCCUUGGCUUUAACUUCAUUGCCCAAACCAAUUGCCCCUAAUCCCUUUGAUGAGUAAUGGAGCACUAGUUGUAGAGAAGAAAGAUGAUGGACUAGGUGGUAUUUUAGAGAACCGAUGCCUAAACUCACCUUGGGAUGGUGUAAACUACCCCAUGGAUCUGGCCCUCUUAGAAUGCCUGUUUCCGACUCUUGCAUCCUUCUUCUUUGCCAUUGAUCCUCCAACCUUUGUGCAAUAGCCUACAUCGUUGCUAUGUCCAUAUCUUUAUCAAACAAAGCAAUUGUACAUUCUCUAACAAGACAUGAAUCUAAUCUAUCAACAAAUAGAUGAACUCUAUCCUCCGUAGAAGGAGCAUACCUGGACAAGGAAUUAAAUUUGAGACUAUACUUUCUCACACUGAUAUUUUCUUGGUAGAAAUUUAAGUACUGAUUCGCACGGGCCUCUAAGAUCUCCAAUGGCAGAUAAUGAUCAAAUGCCUUAUGAACUCUUUCCACGUAAGUGAAGGUGCAUUUGUUCCCCUAGAUUGGUUCCAAGCUUCAUACCACAAUAUAGCCACACCCUUUAAUCUGUAUGAAGCUAGCUCAAGUGCUUCUUUACCAAUUACAUGCAUAAUAUCAAAAGUGCGUUUAAUUUGAUCUAUAAUGUCUUGCAAAUCUUCAUUAGGAUCUGACCCGGAAAAUGAUGGAGGAUCCAACCGUAUUCCAGCUGAUCUAUCGACACCACUAGUACCUACAACUGGACCUUCUUGCCUUUGGCCAUGACCAGCAACUAUACGAGGUAAAUAAUUAGACUGCAUUCCUCAAAUCUUGCUUGGUAGCAUUGAUAGGGGGGUCCUGAGGUUCAUCUCCCUCCUUAGUUCUUUAGGAGAUGGAGGCGUCGGGGAAGUCUGCGAUAUAGACUCAUCUUGAUCCCCACUUUGAACAACAUCACUUGUUGGUGGGUAGCUGAUCCCUUCAUGGGCAGCCACAUUUACUCGUUCACCAGUACUUUUACUACUUCUCAUAACCGGCAUCUUUGAUAUAACAAAACAAUCGAGAAAUAAGAUAUGAUUCACCUACAACACUGGUUUCUAUCGCACGAUCUAAGAAAUGAGACAACUCAUACAUUUCCUGUAGCCUCCUGUUUAUAGAUGUAGUGCACAACACAUCCAUAAGCAAGACUCUACACAGACACAACUUUGUAGACUCCUUAGUAUCACCUGCACUGAUACAACUUUUUGUCACGUCUCAAAACUCAUUAUGACGGAUAGGCACUCGAUGCCCUAAAGGCCUGAGAGAACCAACAUGCAACCUGUUCUUACUGUGCAUAUAACUAUAACAAUUGUGGCAAGCUCACCUAGGAUGCAGCGAUACAAAACAACAUAAGUAGGCCCAAAAGUUAUAUACAAGACUUGGCCGUUGAGGCCACGACUUCUAAAGGCACAACUGAACCAUGUACAUACGUCUACGAAACCACUAACAAAUCGAGGACUAGAUUAGGUCACGAUAGACACGGCCUUACCCCUACGAUACAAUACAAAAAUGAAUUUCCCAAAAACUCAAUAAAGCUCCGAAUAAACUUGAAGCUCACCAAAAAGUAGCAGAGUUUCGUGUGCUCUUUAUGAGGAGGUCUACAAGUUGGAUACCUGUGUCUCAAAUAUGAAAUGUAGCGCCCCUCCAUCCCCCCCACCCCCUGCGAGAGACGCCAGCAUGAAAAAAUGUACUGAAUAGGCAUUAGCAUAUGUAAUACGAGAGAUCAAUUGAAAUCAAAUUGCAACAUAUGAGUGCACAGAUUAGGAGAGAAGGCCACCUUUGCUUACUCUUGUUGGAUAAAUUAAGUUACAUUCUUUUCUUUACUUUUAUGUUAUAAUAUUUGCAGGGAAUGUGAUACAAGUUACCAACUGAUCAGUGGUAGAAGAGGAUGACCCAUGCUAGGCGUAUUAACCCUUUGGAUGCGGUCCUCAUAAUUACACAACUUGGGAUCGUCCCAUACUAGGCUUUCGCCCAUGAGCUGCCACCCUUCUAUACCAAUAGGGAUCGUCCCAUGCUAGGCUUUCUCCCUUGAGCUGCCAUCCUUAUGUACAAGUUGGGAUCGACCCAUGCUAUGCUUUCUCCCCUGGGCUUCCACCCGUAAUUAUAUAGAUUUCUUUAUUUAGAUUCUUUAAUCUUUGAGAUUGUUGUUUAUCAGUUCAUAACUCAUUUUAGAUUUUAUUUUGGUGGUCAUAAUCAUUUUUGAGAUAUGGAAGUAUGGACCAGUAAUAGAAGAAAUGAAAUAAUAUUUCAAGGAAAUAACAAUGACAUAAGCAAUUAUGUAACAUCAACACAUUACUUUAAGGGAUAAAUGACACAAUUGACUUCAAACAACAAAGAGGAGGAUUCAUAGACUUGCUAUUGCAAUUACCAUUUCCAUACCAGUACAAGGGGGAUAAUUACACAAGUAUAAAAUAGUGAACAAAUAAUGAAAUAGUUUUAUGCACUACGGAUAGGGGGAAAAUUGUUACCUAUUUUGGACACUGUACGUUUCCACUAUCUUAAGUAAGAGCAUAUAACACACUAAAUGACCAAGUGCAUUGACAUAUGAUGAAAUGAACAUUCACGUAAAAGGGAUGAGUAAUUAUGAAAAGAAAAUGUGCUAAUGCUAAUGAAUGUGGUGACAUAUGAUAAGAGGCUAAUGUGAAAGAUGAGAGAAAUCUCAAAUGAUCUUAAGUAAAUGUUACCAAAACGUACUCACCUAUGAGAGUGUAAAGCCAAUAAAGAGACCAGUCUCUAUGUACACUCUAAUGAAAGUAUUGAGACUGAUGUAUACUUAAUACUAACUAUGAGAUGAUAAAUCAUCUAUUGAGCUAUGAUGUACUCAUAAUAGAAGCCAACUUGCAUGAUGUAUGAGUUGAAUAAAAUUGAACUUUAUACUGAGCCCCAAUAGGCUAGCUAUGAGCAGUGAUGCCUUCUUUCGGGAAGGGCGGGUCUCCUUAUAUCUCUAAGUCUUUGAACGUAUACUGCAAAUAUAGACAUCUAUCGGUGUUCAAUUCCCAUGUACGUUGCAUGUUUUGGGUCACUUUUAUUGCUGAUUCCACCUUUUUUCGGUGUAGGGUAGACACUGGAUGUUAUGAUGGUCACAUGAUCUAUUUCAGUUAAGGUUGGAGUCCUCCGAGUAUGAAAGAUAAUGAAAUGAAUAAUACAGAAGAUGUUUGUGCAAGACAAUCAAGAGGUGACAAGUAAUGACAUUAGGUCAUUCUUGGUCAUUUCAGUUCAUGAUCCCGAUGAGAGUUUUAGAAUUCAUCCUAGGUAUGAAUGAACGAAUGAAGCAGACUAUAUGUUUUCUAAAGAAGGCCCUCAGGUUGAGGUCCCAUAUGUUGGGCACUCACUUGAGAUGUCUUAAUGCUAUAUCAACUAUUCGAAGGUCUCGCGUAUAUGAAAUAUAUAAUAUAUAAAACAUGAAUGUAAUGCAAUCAAUGACAUAAUCAAUAGAUAAUGGCUUAUGAAAUGUAAUGAAUACUUGAUGUAAUGAAUAACUUGUUGUAAGGUUAGUCAAAUCGUGUCCAAUAAAGUUUACAAUAAGUAAAUGGCAUAACUCUUAAUGAAUCCAAAUGUUAUAAAAAUGAUAAAGCCAAAUAAAUUGGCUUAUAAUGAGUUUAUAUAAUUUUCAAAAUAUAUUAGCCAAAUAAGAUUGUCUUAUAAUGAUUUCUUAUACUUGGCCAAUAAAACAAUAAUAGGAAUAGUCACUAAAGAUUGGUUUAUAAAGAAUUCAUGCCCAAAGUAAGCAAGAUCAUAAGCUUAAUGAUAUUCCCAAGAUCUAUACACAUUAUGCAAUCAACUAAAGUAUUGACUUACAAAAAAUGUAUUCAUGCCCCAGAUUGUAGUGAAUUCAUUUCCUUAAUUUCUUGAAUUACUUAUUUGAUUCAUUGUGGGUAUAGGAAUCAAUGAAUAAUUUCACUUGUAAGUAAAACAUAGGACCAAAGGAGUUAUUGAACUACACAACAAACAAAAGAAAAAGACUGAAAAAUAAUGUGUACAAAGAGGAGCUCUAGAGUUUGGAGGAUCAAAAAUUAAAAUCUUCGCCCGAGUGGUUCUAAAGUUAUGUUGAUGAUACUAAUUUCUUGUAAUCAUAUAGAAAAUGAGUUGUGUUCUUUGAAUUCAUUAAAAUACAUCACAUUCAUACCACAAUUCACAACAAAUGAAUUAGGAAAGUCUAAUGACUAGACUUUCCAGAAAUGGCAUGUUGCUUAGGAAAAGCAUUCAUUGAUCAUGCAUAUCUUUAUGUGUAUGUGUGCAUACAUCCAUACUUAGUACAAGUGGUGUACUAACGCCCUACUAUUUACUAUUUUCAUAGGUGCAGGUUAGAGGACAGGUUGACGACACUUGCAGUGGUUUGGACUUCACGUUUCUCCGAACCAUUUGGUAGGUCCUCCUGAUUUCGAAGAUUCUACAGAUUUAUUAUGGCCUUAGAUUUAGAAAAAUCUUGUGGAUGUUGUUCCCAGCCAUACUUGGUGCAUUCUUGUGCCAACUCCAUUCUUCUAUACUUUUCACACAAAUGUAGGUUAUGCAUGCUUAAAGGAUGUCUCUAUUAUUGAGGAGCUAGAUAUUCGAUCCCUAAGUUCAAAGAAAGAAAUCCUUAAUUCCAAGGAUGUCCUAUGUUUAGUUCACUGUGAAGUCUUUUGUAAUUGAAAUUAUGUAUCAUGAUAUAUGGGCCAUGUCCUAAGGUACUCUUAUGAUGUUGAUUCUAGGAUGCCAAAAAGAGACUAGAGUUUUAUGUGACAGUAAGAAAUGAAUAUGAUCUUGAAUUUAGCAAAGAAGGUAAUUUAUGUGGAACCAUAUAGAAAGAAGGUUAUGUAUCCUUGAAGUCAAAACCCAUAAUGGUAUCCUUCUCGUGUGAAUGGUGAGCUUAUGGUUGGUUAGCUGGAACAACAUCCUUUGGAAAAUCACUGAGCUAUCUUCUUAACUAUUGAAAGGCAACCCUAGGGGACCUCUUUGGUAAGGUAUGUUAUGAUUUUAUUAUGAACUAAGAUAAGGAACCUCUUCAGAUACUCCUUGAUUGAAUUGAUAUAUGAGAACAAAGGCUAGCAACAGGUGAGUAUGGUUUUGGGAGUAGCUCUAGUUGAAGGCGAGGCUAGAGGACAAAGAAACCAUUCAUAUUCCUUAACCAUGUGCCUACAUGGGAUGUGUUCUAGUCCUACCAUUGACAAGUAGAACACCCUUUAUCGGAGUAGGGUUUACUCCGGAUUCCAUGCUUAAAUACCAUUGUCUAUGUCAGUCAUUGCCUAUUCUCAUCAUGUCGGACACAUUCUAGUGUUGAAUGAGUUCUAUGAAGUUUAAGUAGUUAAAUGAGAAUAUAUAUAUAGACAUUGCACGAUUAGUCUUUGAUGAUGUUAAUAUGUGAGUCCCUAGGUUAUCUCCACGACCAUUAUGUUAAUGGUCUUACCUAUUAAAUGUCUCAUAAAUGAGUUAAUGGACAUAAUGACUUAAGUGAAGGUAUUUUAAUGAAAAAGCAAGUAUCUAGAGUAGCUCUGAGGAUUGCUCAGGCAGGCUUGAAAAGAGGGUAUGGGCGUUAUCUUCUUGUCUUAAUUUAGAGUAAUUCUAGGUAGUGAGUUUGAUUAAUGAAAUGAGAAUGAUCUUUUCCUAGGUAGUAAUCAGCAAAAUUUAGGUAUGCUUGAAGAGGGUGUAUGUGUGGUCUCUUCUUGUCCUACUUAAGUGAGUCUUAGGAUAACCAUGGAUGGGAGGAUUAUGUGUUAAAUAGGUUACUGUGAACUUUCUGUGAAGUCCUAUAAGGUUAUUGUAAGUUUCUAUAAAUUAAGUAUGACUUUGAAUGUGCCUUAAAUGUGAUGUUUGGUGUUUAAAUGUGGUUCUUAUGCUUCUGUAUGAAGUUUUAAUUUAAAAUAGAAUGUUUUAAUGUAAAUAUCUGUUUAUCAUAAGUUUAUGCAUUAUGUCAUACUUAGUACAUGCAUUGUACUAAUUCCAUACAUUUUGUCUAUAUCUAAAGUUGUAGGUGGAAUGUGAGAGACAUCUUGGAGCAAAUCUUGGAAUCUAGACUCUUUCAAUCAAAGUUGGGGUAUGUCCUCACUUGCUUCGUGGAUAUAACUAUCUUUAGAUUUCCUUUUUUAAUACAAGUAUUGUAAUCGACUAAGUUUAUAUAUUCGAUUGUAUGGACCAUGUCCCAAGUAUUCUUGAGUGUAAGAUUGCCGUAUGUUUAGGCUUAGUAUUUUCUAUGGUUUUAUACGAAAGAUGUUAUGAGAUAUUAUUGGUUUGAAAAGUUAUAAUUUCGCACUAAUUUUUAUGCAUGUAUGCAAUGAAUCAGGGCUUGUACAAGAUCUCCGAGAGGUCAAGAACACUGAGUCGCACUAUAAGAGUGCAAUAUCUUCUAGGGUGUGCUCUCGAGGUGUGACAAUCUUGGUAUCAAAGCAUAGGUUCUGAAGUAGUAUUUAGGAAUCGAAAAGUCUCAAAAAUCCAUGUCUAGUAGAGUCUUCUUCAUCGGUGUGAGUCGCGACACAUCUAUGAGCUAGAGUCAAUACGACGAUAGAGUUUUUCUUCUUUUCUACUCUUGUGUCAUGCUGUAGAGUAAAAGGGUUAUGAGUGUCACAUCCGGGAAAGCCUCCAAUAUGUAAUCGACGUCAUCGUCCUCUUUGAGGACUAUGACCAGCAUCUUAUCUUACAUCAUUACAUUCAUACGUAAAUCACUUCUUAGAAGAAAUUUGAAAACUUUUCAUUACUUAUACUUGGAUGUUUACCAUAUCUAUUGUAACACCCCGUAUUCUACGUGAACUAGUUCUCUGUACAUGUCUCUUAAAAAUUUCCUUGUAGUAUAGUUAUGGACUUGGUUUCUUAUGUAACUAGCUCAAUAGAAUAUGUUUGAAGUUGUAACACACCGUGCCUUCCAACACAUAUAUGAAUAAUUGAACUAAAAAAACCAUUCAAACUUGGGAUAGUAAAAGGUGGCAUUUGAUAUAAAAGUCAAUGUGGUCAAGUGUGUAUUUAGUACUACGGUCUUUAAAAUAAUUUAAGAUAGGGAAAAUGGUGUUAAAUAAUUGAGGUGCUUGCUCAACUGAACAAUGCUAGUAGGUGACAAGUGGGUGAUGCACCUACUUAGAAUUAGUGGACUGCAUUAUGAGUGAAAAAGGGCAAGUAGGUGAUGUAUAUACGUAGACUUACUGGACUAAAUUUUAAGUUAAAAGGAGCAAGUUGUGUGAUACACAUACUUAGAAUUAGUUGAUUGAAUUAUAAAGGAGCAAGUAGGUGAUGCACCUACUUAGAAUAAGCGAACUGAAUUUAAGUGAAACGAGAAAGUAGGUGAUGCACCUAGUUAGAAUAAGUGGACUGAAUUUAAGUGAAAAGAGCAAGUAGCUCAUGCAACUAAUUAAAAACAUGUGGCAGAAACUAACGAGGUGAUGCACUAUCUUGGUUAAAAUUAAAGGACCAUAUUAUUUCUCCAAUUUAUUAAGUGAAAACGUCCGGAAGGGACAUCUAAAGAACUCAAGCUUAUCACCCCCCUUAUCACUUAUUUUCAAGAAAAUUACUCCCAUGGAAAGCCAUAGAAACUCUAAAGAGUUCUGAUCUACAGCUUCAGUAUUAGAAUCUGAAGGAAACAUGUGUUUUUGAAGUACAAGUUGGUUCAACAUCUCCAUCUUAAGGAACUCAAGUGAAUAAUAUGAAUUAACAUCAAGGGGGAAGAUGACAACCUAAACCUUAAAGAAUCCAAGUCUUGGCAAUUGAGGUUUCUUUUUAUCAAGAUGAAUAAUUUGAGAGGAAGAUGGUUAACUCAUUAUUAUAUCCAUUUUUGUGCAGCAAGGUAUGUAAGGCUAUUCGAUUUCCUAUUUCAUUGAUAUGAAUCCAAUACUUGUAAGCUUUCUAUGUGCUCUUGGUAGUGACUGAUCCAUAAUGCAGUUUGUACUCCCUAGAGAAUUAAAGUGAGCAUUCUACUAUGAGUUUAUGAUUAAAUGUGCAUUUUUGCUCUACCAAGUGUUACCAUGCAUGGUUUAAACUUGUUUCAUUGUCAAAGUAACUCUGGCACAUAUUUCCCUUAUAUAAGUCAAAGUGAUCCUAGAUUACACAUCGUACAUAUGUUUAUAGGAUAGAUACACGAUCUGUCGUUGUCUUGCUAACUUGCUUCAAGAGUUUAUUCAAUCAUAUAUGUCAUCUUCUAACAUAUUCAUGUCUUCCCUUUAAUGGUUAUUACUCCCAUAGUGUUAGACUAUUAUGUUGCCUCACAAGAUGUCUACUUGCUUUAUUUUACAUUUAUAUGUAUGUACUUACUUGGAAUAUGUAUUUGUAUAUGUAUGUACGUACUUGGAAUAUAUAUCCGUCCUUAAGUAGAAUUUUUCCACAUUCUUCCUUGGUUCCACAUUCAUGUAUACCUUGUCUUUGAUAUUAGUUGGUGAGUAUUUGGCUAUCACAUAGAGUUCAAACCUCUUUUCUUAAAGUUACAUGUCUUCAAUUUGAGAUGUCGGAAAUGCGUUCUGAGUCAUUAAAGAAGUAUUACGUUCAUCACACCUCCAGCUACCCCCGAGAUGCAGACACGAAACUUAGGACCACAAGUGAUCCCAAGCUAACCCUCUUGGCAUGAUCAUGAGCAUACAAAAGAUAAGAAACUGAAUGCGGAAGCUAAAAUCAUAAUUUAAACUGAAAAUAUGGGGAAUAUCAUAUACCAUAAUUGAGAUAAAUGAAAUAUUGAUGAAUUUAAUACAAAGAAGUGAUUAACUUAAUACUACGCUAAAACUAACUAUGUUUGAAGUAAGCCUCUAAAUGACUAGAAAUACUAGGACAAGCCCCAGCUAAGUCUAGAAAAAACUAAAAGUAAAUGACUAAAAGACUGAAAUGAACUCAUGACUAUUGUCCUCGGAAAAUGAGGACUCACCACGGAAUCUGUUGAACUAGAGAUCGGGAAUCAAAUCUAAGUGUAAUCUGGAUGUUGAGAACCUGAACCUACAUCAUGAGAAUAUGUAGCUCAUGUACGCAUCAGUACUUGAAGGUAACGAACGUGUAGGAUAGAGUAAAGUUGAAAUAAAACAUAACUGAACAAGCACAAAAGAAAGUAUGAUAAUCUGAACAUGAUAUACUAAAUUUUGACCUAACGGGAUGCAAUGACCAAUUUAUCAGAUGCUGAAACUAAAUACUGAAUAUACUAAUAAAUGGUCAAUGCAAGAGAGUCCGACUGACUGUGGGAGCUACUAAUAAUCGAUAAUAAAACUAAAUUAUCUAAAUGUGGAGUCCGGUGUAUACUCCCCAUCGAGGACGCCAUAUACACUGCCAAAGGUAUAAAGGAAUGCUCGCAUGAUCACUAAGUUGAUUGCCCAUAGAGGAAACUUACAACCUACUUGGCUAAUAGCUCUAGGACUAAUUGGAUAUGCUGAACCCUAGUCCAACUCGGUAUUAUUCUACUCCCAAUGAAUUAUGUCAUUAACAAGAUUAUGAGUUUAUUUAAAUACUGGAUAGCUAAAAACUGAACAUGCAAACUGAGAAUGCAACAAUUAAUAUGGUAAUUAUGCAUUUAUAACUGAGGCAUGUAUAUCUGAAGUAACUGAAAUAUCUGACCUAUCAUGUGUAGUCAAGAACUAAAGAAAUACAUAGCUAGGGCUCAAAAAUUCAUGAAAUAACCUGAAUAACAACAUUACAAUCUCAUUUGGAACAUAUAAAUAAUAAAUUCAUGAAGUUCUAUUGAUUUUCUAAAAAUACUAGGUCCAAUCAUGAUAUGGCAAUAAAGAAUCUGAAUGAAAACUAAGGACCCAAUUUGUCAAAACAACCCACUAAUGAAACCUGACAUACCCUGUGAUGGAAUUCACCGGAAACACUUACAUUUUGGGGCUGGAACUACUGGAACCUUGCUGCGUUCUUGAACUAGGGUUCGUGACCUUUUUCUCCUUUCUUGCUUCUAAUUUUCUAUGUUUUGAUUAAUGAUUUGACUUAGGUAAGUUUUAGUUAUGUUUCUAGGCUUAAACUAACAAAAGUAUGAUGAUAUAGGGUCAAAACAACAUUUCUUAGGUUUAAACAUAGUGGGAAAAGACUAAAACACCCCUGACUAAAAGUUGUGAGAGUCACCGAUGGAGUCAACGGAUGAACUGUAAGUCAACUGACGAACCGUAAGUCGACAGACAUUUCGUACUGGUAAACCGUCGUUUCUGACUUAGAGUUGAAUCAGUUGGGGAAUCGACGGAUUUGACUGACUGACUGUAGUUCAACUGACGGUUCAUACUGGUCGACCGUCGUUUGCGAUUGAGAACUGGAGGUAAGCUGAUCAAUCAAUGUAGUUGACUGAUAGACCGUAAGUCUAUUGAUGGUUUGUACUAGUUGACCAUCAUGUGUGGCUUGUAAUUGAGAUUCAUUUGUCCCAUUGAUGGAGUCGACUGAAGGACCUUACGUUGACUGACGGUCCGUAGUUGGCUCCGUCGCUGGCACCUGCAAUUUCUGAAAAUCUGUAUUUUUUGUACUUUUUUAGAUACGGGGUGUUACAACGUUGGGGUCGCAUUUUCUUCCCAUGUCAUUGUCAUUAUCAUUAGUUCAUAUUUGUAUGCCUUCUAUUACUGGUUCGUAGUUCUAAAUCUCAACAAUGAUUAUGACCACCAAAACAUCAAUACAAAAUGAGUUGCUAUCAACAAAAGAACAAUCUCAAAAGAGUUAUGAUUAUCAAAAGUACAAGUCUCUAAAGAGUUACGAACAUCAAAGAAACAAUCUCAAUGAUUAAACAAAUCUAAGUGAAGAAACAUGUAUAAUUAUGGGUGGCAGCCUAGGGGCAAAGCCUAGCAUGGGUCGAUUCCAAUUGGUAUAAAAGGUUGGUAGCUCAAGGGCGAAAACCUAGCAUGGGCCAAUCCCAAUUGGUAUAAGAGGGUGGCAGCUCAGAAGCGAAAGCCUAGCAUGGGAAAAUCCCGAUUGGAUAAGAGGGUGGGAGAUCAGGGGAAAAAGCCUAGCAUGGGACAAUCCCAAUUGGUAUGGAAGGGUGGCAGCUCAGGGGCGUAAGCGUAGCAUGGGCCAAUCCCAAUUCGGUGGCAACUCAGGGAAAAAAUCCUAGCAUGGGCCGAUCCCAAUUGGUGGAAUUAUGAGAUUAGAAUCCAAGGGGCUAAAAUUCCUAGCAUGGGUCAUUCUCACCUACCACUGAUCAGCUGGUCAUUUCUAUCAUAUGGCUUACAAAAAAUAUAACGCACAGAAAAAUUAAGAAAAGAAUGCAACAUACACAAUUCCACAAGUAUAAGCAAAGGUAGUCUGUAAUCCUUAUCUAUUGGUAUUUGGUUUAACUUGAGCUCUCAUGUCACAUAUGGUUGUAUUAGGCCUUACAUAUUUAGUACAUUCUUUCAUACUGACGUCCCUUAUUUGGUGAGCUCCAGUUUGGUUUGAGGAUUUGCCGAGUCUUUGCUAUGUGUAUUUUCAAAGCAUGGAUUUUAAUAGAGGUUUUAUAGACACUGUAAAAAUAUCAUCUGUAUUCAUAGCUUCAAUUGUCACAUGUAUUGGUUAAGGUAGUCAACAUGUUUGUAUAUAAAGCUUUUCAUCAGUAAUCUGCAUAAUAGUUUACUUUCUCAUCGUAGGUUACCUGUAAAGCAUGUAUUCAUACGGUACAUGUUCGCCUCAACUAGGGUUGCGGUGUGACAUCUACAUAGACAUAUUAUUAUAUAUAUUGAGUAUACAUAGACCCUUUGUAUAGAAAGAUUAAAUCGCCUUCUACUUUUAUUGAACAUAAGUAUAUAAAAUAUAACAUAGUCUAAAAAUAGUGGUCUCAUUUCAUAAAAAUCUAUUGGGAGUAUAUGAAAUUUUUCCUAGCAUACAUUGAUGAAACAACACCACAUAUAGGUCAUACAACGUUUAGUAUCCAAAUGAAAAGGAAAGAAACCUAAGAGUCUUACUACUAAAAACAACAUCAUGGCUUGGUAGUGGCAUCGCCUUCGGAAAGUGAGGACCUACCCUACAUGGAUGAUAAAGAAAUCCAAGACUUCUUCAAUGUCGUCUCCAAAAGUCCUUCGACAACCGGAACCUAAAAUGCUGGGGAAAAGGUAGAAAUGGGGUUAGUACACCACUUGUACUAAGUAUGAGACCAUAUGCACACAUAUCAUGAGAACAUUCUAAAAGGGACAUUUCAUUAAGUAUGCAAUUUACUUUGAAAACCUGUAUGCACAUCAAGAAGACUAUACUAAAUCGUUUAGGCAUAUUCAUUAAGUCAUAGGCAUGUGCAUCACAAGACCAACAACAUCAACACUAGUCAAUUCAACACGCAUAUCAUGUAAUUGAAUACAAAGUCAAGUAACUCUAUCAUCAAGUCAUAAAUAACCACAAGCGUGAAUAAGAGUACAUUUCAUCAUAAGCAAAGUAAGACAAUUACCCAUCAACAUCUAUCAAGUCAGCAAGUGCAAUGACCAAGCACAGCCCCAUAACGUUACUCGAUGUAUUAACUCAACAAAAAUCUUGAUCAACAUCCCCCUUAACAUAAUAUGAUAUUUAAGAGCACAUAGCAUCAUACUUUCACAAUAUAGACCAAUACAUAUUCAUAAGUGACACCAAUCAACAUAUAGUAUCAACAAUGUGCAAGUUCACCAUAUACAUAUCAUGUACCAUUAUAAGCAUAUUCAUAAAAAAGAACAUCUGCCUAAGACUUCCCUUAAGGAUAACUAGUGCAAUGUUGAGGUAUAGUGUCAUACCCCUACCUAGACUAAUCUAAACCCCUUAGGUUAUCCUAGUUAGAGUUCAUUCCUUAAAUUCAUUUUACCUUUUUGGAACAUCUUGCCUUAACCGACAUAGACCACAUGAGCUAAUGUGGAAUUCGGUGUCAUGAAACCCUACACUGAAAGAAGGUUGACUACUUGCCAACUAGCUGGUAUUCAAGAACUAGGAGAUAUAGUUGGGAUCCUAUUUAUGAUACAUGCAUUAUAUUCUCCAAUCUCAAGGGUACUUUAGUGAUCCUCCGUAGUAUAUGUGGAAAGGGACACUCCUCACUCUAAUUCACUCGGUUACUAAGAUAGAGUACCUAUUUGGAAUGGCUUUAAUGUAUUUAUUAAUCAUCAUAGCUUAUUGUUGGUAAUAAGGUCUAACCCUUGUAUAAUCAUCAUCAUCAUAGCUCAAUAACAUUAUCCUUUCAUUACAAUUCAUAGAGGUGACGUUAUCACAUUAACAUUUUCUUAUCAUGAUAAGGCACAUUGUUAAAUCAUUCACCCAUCCUUAUAACAUUUACAUAUUAGCCAACACCUCUCAAACCAUAGUCAAGACAUUUUAAUUCAACAUUAUACAACCCUACUAUCAAUACUAUACAAUUCAUACUCCAAUACAAUAUCAUGACCUAAUCACAAUUAACCACAAAUUGAAGUAAAGGAUAGGGAUCACAAGACUUACUAAGUCUCCUUCAUAACCCAUCAUCAAGGUCAUACCAUCACCCUUAACUCAAAUCAAUUAGGGGGUAAAAUCAUAAUAAUUCAAUGAUCAACAUGAUAACAAGGCUAAAAUAAUCACUACAUCACAAUUCAAUACUAGUUCAUAGCUUAAUACAAGAUACAUGGGUCAAUUCACAACAUACUAAAUAAACUAGAUCACUUCUGAAGAACUAGAAUGAAAGGACUAUAAUUCACCCUAAUUCAUUCAUUAUUAGUAUAACAACAUCAUCUAGUAGUAAUUUAAUCAAUAACCAGGUCAAUUCAAGCAAUACAAUAUAAUUCAUAUCAAGAUACCUAGGGUUAAGGGGUAAAGUUCAUCUUCUACAAACAGACCAUACCAUCAAGAUACAUCAUAAUUAAGUUAGAAUACAUGUUAAUAUAUUAAUAAUAUAAAAAUAAAUCAUAAAAAAUUCAAUUCAUAACAUAAUUUUUGAGAUUGGAUAAAACCCACUUGAAAACCCAGCUUUGGAAAUCAAUUUGAUGGAACCCUUUGAUGAAAGAUAUCCCAAAGGUGAAAUAGAUCCCAUACCUUUCUAAUUGAUGAAGAUUGAUGGUGAAACAUGACUCUUUUCAACCCUUACACCCUGCCCUAGAAUGGUUUUCAAUGGAGUUCUUCGUUAGAGAGAGAAAGAAGAGAGAAGGUGGAGAGUUAGGGUUUGUGAGUUAUGAGAGUUUAGAUUAGUUCAGUUGGUUUGGGGUCUUUAAUAGGGUGUUAAUAAACUUAAUUAGGCUUCAUUUAACCCCUAACUAACUAUCUAACCCCUUAAUUAAUUAAUUGGAACUAAUUUAAAAUGUACAGAAAAUCAGGCUCUCACAAAUGAGAUAUCGACCAACGGUCCGUCGGUGAGUCGACGACCCCUACCUCCUUCCAUGUUGCACAUCUGUAGGUAAAUUCAGAUACUAGUACAAAUGUACCAUUAGAAAAAAUUUCUAAGUGUUGGUUGACGGAUGGCAUGGACGCCCCAUCGAUGCACACACGCCCCGUCGUUACCCUUCAUGGGUGCACACGGCCCAGAUAGUCUUUGACACAAAAUGCAAGGGUCCUCCUCAGGAGCCCUUGUUUGGUCCUUGGGGAUUCGUACCCAAAACAUUUCGACUAUGAACCAACUUAAACACAUUUUAGACACUCUUCCACCAAUUUUCAUCAUUUUUCGAAUUAUAAAAGUUAGUCAAAUAGGCUAAGGCACGCUAGCACCUCAUUAAACUAGUUUCCGAACAUCAUGGACGUUUUGGUUUCUAGACAUCCUAAAUGCCUUAUAUUAAUCAAGAUGGACCUUUAAAAAGGGUCUACCCCUUAUGCCACUUACUUUAUAUCUAGAACACGUCUUGGAUUUUCGAAGUGUUACAUUGAGCAUCCUUCUUAUUGUUUAACCUUGUGUUUAUAGGAGAUGACUUCUUGAAGGAUCUCCGCAAGAAGGUUGGGAGACGAAAAAUUGAAUAAGGGAGUUUCCCCAAGGUUAUCAAGUCCCUUUUGUGAGUGAAGGUAAUGAGGUUCUGGUGGUUCCGCGAACAUGACUAAUGGGGAGAUUAAUGAGGCUGUCCUUGCACUAGCUCGAGUGAUAACGACUCAUGUGAAAUGAGGUGUUUAUCAUAAGGUGAAUGUUUUAGAGGGUACCAUGAGCUUUAGGUUGGGAGAGUUUGUGAGGAUGAAUCCUCCUAUCUUUCUUGGCUCUAAGGUGGGAGAGUAUCCCCAAUAGUUUCAUGAUGGUGUAUAUAAGGUGUUGAGUGUUAUAGGGGUGAAUCCUAUGGAGAAACUAGAGUUGGAAUUGUACCAUUUGAGGGAUAUUUCUCAAGUAUGAUACAAUAAAUAGAAAGAUAAUAGGCCGAUAGAGUCGGGUCCUAUAGAGUGGAAAGAGUUCAAGGAGCCUUUCUGAAGAAAGUACUUCCCAUGUGAGAUGAGGGAGGUGAAGCUCGGAGAGUUCAUUGACCUUAGGCAAAGUAAUGUGGAUGUUGAAGAAUCCAUGCUUAUGAGAAGCACAAGGAUUAUGAAGAGGAGUAAAUCUUAUGAGAUGAACCAAAUUAUGUUUAAGAAGAGGGCCCUAAAUCAAGAUGGGGUUAGUGCUUCUAAGGGAAAGCUUGAGAGAGGUGGUGGUUCUCGAAUUAUUAAGCCUACUUUUUCUACUUAUUGGAAGAAGCAUGUUGGGAAGUGUCUAGCCGGAACUUCUAUGGUUGUGGUGAAGAUGGCAAGAAGGUGAGAAACUGUAUUGCUAAUGCGGCUAAAGGAAGGAAGGCCAAGCAAGUUCCUUCUUAUGAUCCAGAAGAGUAUGUUGGCAAGUUCUAAUACUCUCUCUUACGUGUUAUGAGUUCCUUCUAAGUGCGUGAGUAUGGUGAGUAGAGGAGUUGUGGUUGUUGUCUCUUCUCUUCUAUUUUACUUAAUCUUGAGAGUUAGAAAGUCAUAGUAGCAUGUUGUGUUGUAUCUAGGUGUUUUGUAGAAAUUGAAUUUCAUUGAUUCCUUGCAUUGUGCAUUUUAUGAAGAUAUAGUUAUGCUGUUAAAUAAGUUUAUAUGGUUUUAUCUCUCAUAUUUUCAUGCUUCCAUCAUCAAUUGCUUAAGAGUUGCAUUUUUGAAUAGUUGAGCAUAUGUACUAUUUUGGUGUUCACUGUGAAAUUUUUGGAAAUUGACUAAAUUGAUCUUUUGUUGAAAAUUGUUGUGAUGUGUAUAUUAUUGAUGUAUAUAAGCAUGAUAAUUAAUGGAGAAGUAGUUCCUCCUAUUUGAAAUGAAGAAUGUGAGUCUUAUUGCAUGAUGACGAGUAGAUUUGUUUCUAUGUUCAUGUUGUCUUUUGAGUCUCUUAAGUUUGUGAAAUUGUUGUUCUUCCUAAAUAUGUGUAUUGUAUAUGUAUGGUGGGUAUGUUUAUGUGCUUCUAGUCUUGAGUUUUUUUCUCUUUAUAGUGUCUAAAAUAAAGCAAGUGUCAUUCGAGGACGAACGUUGUCCAAGUAAGAACGAAUGUAAAACCUCUAAAAUGACUUAGGUGAAAAUAGAGCCUAAAGCUUCUGUCCUGAAGUUCUUAAGUCCUAAAAUGGUUUAUAAUUAUGUUUAUAGGAAGUGUCUAAAGUUUGGUGAAGUUGGAAGUCUGAAGUUCAUGACGUUUGAAAGGUUUGCCUUGAAACGUGCUUCUGUGCCUUAGCAUGUUUCGUCAAGUUUUACCUGUUCGUUUUGAAUGAAAUUGAUGUGAAGGUCCUCAACUUGUGUAUGAGUAUAAUUGGCUUGGAAAUGUCUGGGAAAAAUGUUCUUGUGAAUAUUUUCAUUUUUGUGCUACUUUUCAUAUAUGUAUGCAAUAACGUCCGAGAGGUCAAGUACGCCGAGUCACACACUGAGAGUGUCAUAUCUUUGAGGGUGUACUCUAGGGGUGUGACACAUGGUGAGCCAUAGCAUACGAUAAUCGGCAAAAUAAGGGUCAUGCGCACUUCGAUACUCGUUUGGCCUUGCGAAUUGGCCGGCAUGGCCGCGAGGGCCAACAGACUACAUAGCGAAUAUGUCUUAAGGGACGUUCAUGAGAAAUUUGGCAUUUUGGAUGUUAGAAAUCCGGAUCACAAAAAAAGAUGAGGACUAUAGCACAUGCUAAUCAGUAAAAUGUUGGGCAUGCGCACUUUAUGUUUGACCCAGUAAAUGGGCCGACAUGGCCGUAAGGGCCAAAAGACUGCAUAGCCAAUGUCUUACGGAUGUUCAAUAGAAAUUUCAACAUUUUGGACGUUAGAAAUCCAAAUUACUAACAAAGAUGGUGAGCUAUAACCCACGAGAAUUAGCAAAAUGAGGGGUAUGCGCUUUUUGAGGUUUGUUUGACCUAGAAAAUUUGGCGGCAUGGUCAUGAGAGCCAAUUGGCUGAAUCUUAAAGGUCUUAACAGAUGUCCAUGAGAUAUUCCAGCAUUUUGGACGUUAGAAAUCUGAAUCACCAACAAAGAUUGUGAGAUAUAGCACACUAUAAUCAACAUAAUUGGGGAUAUUCACUCUUCCGAGCUCCUUUGAGCUUGAAAAUGGGUCCGCAUGACUGGAAGGGCGAAUCGACUUUAUAGCCAAGGUCUUAACAGAUGUCAAGAAUAAUUUUUUGAAUUUUUGAUGUUAGAAAUCAAUAUCACCAACAUAGAUGGUGAGCUAUAGCACACGAUAAUCGGCAAAAUAGGGGCUAUGCGCGCUUUGGGACUUUUUUGACCUUCAAAAUGGGCCGGCCUGACCGUGAGGGAAAAGCGACUGCAUAACUAAGGUCUUAAUGAAUGUUCAUGAGAAAUUUUGGUAUUUUGGACGUCAGAAAUAUAGGUUACCAAUCAAGAUGGUGAGAUAUAGCACACAAUAAUCACCAAAAUGGGGAUCAUACGCGCUUUGGGACUCGUUUGACCUUAUGAAUUGUCCAUGUCCACGAAAGCCAGCCUGCAGCAUAUCCAAGGUAUUAAGAGACAUGGACAAGAAAUUUCAAUAUUUUGGAUUUUGGAUAUACGGAUCACUAACAAUGAUGGUGAGCUAUAUCACAAGAAAUUUCAUGCACGCUUCGAAGCUCGUUUGACCUUGAAAAUUGGGCCAAAAAGGACGUGAAUGCCAACUGGCUGCAUAUCAAGAUCUUAAGGGACGUUCACGAGAAAUUUUAGCAUUUUGGAUUUUGAAAAUCUAAAUCACCAACAAAGAUGGUGAGCUAUAAUUGGAAAAAAUGAGGGUAUGCUCAAUUUGGUGCUUGUUUGACCUUGAAAAUGGGAUGACAUGGCCGUGAGGGCCAACCGUCUGUAUAGCCAAGGGCUUAACGGACAAACACAAGAAAUUUCGGCAUUUUGGACGUCGGAAAUCCGGAUAACAAACAAAGAUUGUGAGCUAUAAUAUAGCACACAUUAAUAGGAAAAAAGAGGGGUGGGGGUAUGCACACUUCGGGACUCAUUUGACGCUGAAAAUGGGUUAGCAUGUCUGCGAGGGAAAAUUGGCUGCAUAGACAAGGUCUUCACGGUCAUCCACGAGACCUUUUGACAUUUUGCACAUCGGUAAUUGGGAUUCACAAUAAAGAUGAUGAUCUAUAUCACACAAUAAUUAGAAAAAUAGGGGUUAUGCGCAAUUCAGGUUUGUAUUUGAAAAUUGGCCAGCAUUGCCAUGAGGGUUAACUGGCUGGAUAGCCAAGUCUCUACGGACGUCCAUGAGAAGAUUUGGAAUUUUAGACAUUGGAAAUAUGGAUCACCAACAUAAUGGGAGCUAUAGCACAUAAUAAUCAGCAAAAUUUACGGUAUGCACAUUCAGCUCUCGUUUGACCUUAAUAAUAGGUCGGCAUGGCCGCGAAGGCCAAUCCACUGUAUAGCCAAUGUCUUAAUGGAUGUUCACGAGAGCUUUCGACAAUUUGGAUGUUGGAUAUCUGGAUCUCCAAUAAUGAUAUUGAGUUGUAGAACAUGAUACUCGAAAAAAUAGGGGUUAUGCACACUUCGGGGCUCAUUUAACCUUGAAAAUUGGUCAGCGCUGCAUUUUUGUUAUUUUGGACGUCAUAAAUCAAAAUCACCAACAUAGAAGGUGAUCUAUAGGACAUGGCCGUGAGGGCUAACCGUCUGCAUAUCAAAGGUCUUAAUGGACUUCCAUAAGAUAUUUUGGCAUUUUGGAUUGGAAAUCUAGAUCACCAACAAAGAUGGCAAGGUAUAGCACACGAUAUUCAAUGAAAUGGGGGUAUGUGUGCUUUAGGGCUCGUUUGACCUUGAAAAUUUGCUAGCAUGGCCGCAAGGGCCAACACGCUGCAUAGCCAAAGUCUUAAUGGACGUCCAUGAUAAAUUUCAGCAUAUUUGACUGUCACAUCCGGGGAGCACCCCUAGAUGUAACCGACGUCGUCGUCCUCUUUUAGGACCAAGACUAGACUCUUAUCUUACAUCAUUACAUUCAUUGGUAAAAUUUAGCAGAAAUUUAGAACUUUUUUAUUUAUUCUACAUUGAGGUUUACAUAGACAUAUACAUACACAUAGUAUAUACAUCAAAUUUGAUAGACCCUUCGUGUAGUAAGAUUACUUAGUCUUCUAAUUUUAUUGCACAUAGAUAUAUGGAAUAUAACAGUCUUAAAUAGUCAUCUCAUCUCAUAACCAUCUAACAAGAGUGUAAUAAUUUGGGCCUAGCCCAUAAAUCAAUAUAACAAGACCACAUAUAGGUCAUAUAAUGUUUAGUACACAAAUGACAAGGAAAGAACAUAAGAGUGUUAAUGCUAAAACAACUUCAUAAGCUUGAUAUUGGCAUUGCACUCGCAAAGUGAGGACCUACCUAACUUAGAUGAUUAAGAAUUUCAAGUCUUCUUCAAAGUCGCCUCCAAAAGCCCUUCAAUGUUCGAAAUCUAAUAUAUUGGCAAAAAAGGAAGAAAUUGGGUUAGUACACAACUUGUACCAAGUAUGAUACCAUAUGCACACAUAUCUUGAAAUAAUGCAAAAAAGGGACAUUUCAUAACGGUAUGCAAUUAUUUUGAAAAGCCUUCAAAAUGACAUAGUGUCAUUUGCAUGUAAGAUCAUCAUAUACAUAUAAUUUAAAUUAAUAAGCAUAUACAUACAUAAGAACGUCCUCCUAAGACUUCCCUCAACGCUAACUAGUGUAAUGUUUACGUAGAGUCCCGUACCCCUACCUAGACUAAGCUAAACGCCUUAUCUCAUCUUAUUAGAGUUCAAUCCUUUAGUUCAUUUUACCUUUUGGUAACAUCUUGCCUUAACCUACAUAGACCAUAUCAGCUAAUAUGGAAUCCGGUGACAUGAAACCCUACACCGAAGGAAGCCGGUGUCGUGAAACCCUACACCGAAUAAGUUGGUCGACCCGCCACAGUAAAACCAAAUAUAAACAUUAGCUUCCUAGGUGGAUCCACUAGCUAUUCUUCCUAUGGUGGAAACAUAGUUCAAUAACUAAGAGAUAGGUACAACCUCUCUACAUGCCACUUUGAAAUAAGAGCCUCCUUUCAUGGGAAUAUAGAAAGUGAGUAUCCCUCUUAAGGGAGUCAACACCUCAUGUGAUGCUAUAGGGUGAAUCUUCCUCUAUUGAAAGUCAACACCUCCCAUUUUUAAGUUCAUAGGGACCCUUUAUGAAAUUUCUUUAAUACUUUUAUUAAUCAUCAUAACUUAAUGUAGAUAAUAGGGUCUAUGGUUGUAUAAACAUCAUCGUCAUCGUAGCUCAAUAAGAAUUGCAUGAGUAUAGUACUUCCAUUACAAUUCAUACAAGUGAGGUUAACACAUUUACAUAGUAAUAUCAUAUUAAAGCACAUUGGUAAAUGAUUAUCAUCCUUAUAACAUUUACAUCUUAGCCAAAACCUCACAAACCAUAGUCAAUACAUUUUUCAACAUAAUACCAACCCUCCUAUCAAUCCUUACACAAGUCAUACUUCAAUAUAACAUCAUCACUUAACCACAAGUAACAAUAAUUGAAGUAAAGAGUUGGGAUCACAAACAUACCAAGUCUCCUUCAUAACUCAUCAUCAAGGUCUGACCAUCAACCCUUAAUUCAACCCAACAAGGGUACCAUAUCAUCACAUAUAAAUAACCAACAUGAUAACAAAGUCAAUUGAGUCACUAAAUCAUAAUCCAUUACUAAUUCAUAGCUUAAGAUAAGUGGCUUAGGUCAAUUCCAUAAUACACUUCAUAACCUAGACCAAUUACUCACGAACUAGCAUGAGAUGACUCUAAUUCAUCUUAAUCUAUUCAAAAUUGAUACAGUAAGAUAAUCUAGUAGUAAAUCAACCAAUAACCAAUUCAAUUGAACCAACAUUACAUAAUUCAUAUAAAGAUCAUAACUUAGGUUUAGGGGAAUAGGUCACUUUCUACAAAUUACACCAAUCCAUCAAGAUGUAACAUAAUAGAUUUAAAAUUCAUGUUAAUAUGUUCAAAAAUCCAAAAGAAAUCAUAAAAAAUUAAUUCACAACAUCAAUUCGUAUUGGAUGAAAAUCCACUUGAAAACCCAACUUUUGAAAUUAAUUUGAUGGAACCUUUGAGAAAAGUGGUCUCAAAGAUGAAAGGAAUCUCAUACCUUAAUAAUUGAUGAAAGUUGAUGAAGAAUUUCUACCCUUUUCAUCCCUUGGAUCCACCUCUAGCUUUGUCUUCAAUGAAGUUUCUUAGAGAGAGAGAGAAGAGAGAAGGAAGAGAGUUUUGGGUUCGGGAAUAAUGAGAGCUUAGUUUAUCUAAUUAAUUUAGGGGCUUUAAAUAGGUUGUUUACUAACUUAAUUAGACCUUCACUAACCCCUAAUUAACCUCCUAACUAAUCCAACUAAUUAAAUGAAUUAAUUCAAAGCGUGCAACAAAACACAGACCUCACAGAUGAUACCACGAUCGACGGAUCAUGUGUCAAUCGAGGGGUACUGUGCACCUCCGUGCUGCACAUCCGUCGAUGAGUUCAGAGACUAUGUAGAAUGAAACCUCAAAGAUUUUUUCUAAGUUACCAUCGGUGAAGGCAUCGAUGCCCCAUCGAUUCACCAAUGGCCCGUUUGUGGCAUUCAUUGAUGACACUGUCCGUUGACAACCUUUGGUCACUUUUUCAAGGGUCCUCCUCAAGGGCCCUUGGUUGGUCUUGUACAAGCCUUAGCUAUCAUUCAUUACAAAAGAAAUGAAAAGUAAAACAUCUUUCAUAAAAGCUAAGGAUUUGAUCUCAUCUACACAAGCCAACAAAAAGAGACGAUAUCAGUAUCUUAGGGACACGACCUUUUUACAUUAAAUGAAAAAGACAUAAUCAGUCUUUAGAAAAGAAACUAAGAAGUACAACAACUAUACCUCUAAUAUAUGAGGACAUACUUAGUCUUGAGAGAAUCUUUCAGAAGCUUGUCUUUUAGUUUUCAGACAUGCCUCCAACCUAUACUUAUUAAGUAUAGGAAAGUACAGGGUUAGUAAAAAACAAUGUACUAAGAAUGACAUAUGCAAAAACAUUCAAAAAUGGAUAUUUUAGUAAACUAAGCUUUCAUGCAAAAUAAGAAAAACUUUCAUAAUUUAAUAGUUGUAAUAGUAUAAGAAUCAUCAUAAAUAGCACAUAAAGCAGGACUCUCAAAAAUUUUUGAAACAAAAUACACUUUACAGUAGUAUUAGAAAAUCUUACAGUGAACACAGUGACAGAUUACAGUGAAUAACAUUACAGUGAGCAUUUUCUCCCAAGCAUAGUGAACUCAUUUUUUCGUGAGGUUUCCCUUCUCAAAUAGGACCUAUAAGUUACACUAAGUGUAAGAGUAGCAUCAAUACUACUACUCCCACUUAGUUUUCCUUGAGGAUUCCCUUAGAUUAAGCACCCCACAUUAGUCACUCCUAACAUGCUUCUUAACAUUAGACAUUAAGUUAUCUAACUUCAUUUACAACACAUGAUAGAACCCACCAAGACUCCCUUUUUGGAAGGUCUACUUAGUGCAAUGAAUAGAUAGUGUCCCAUACGACCACCUACCCUAAGUAGUAUUUUCUUUUAUGAGACUUAGUUCAUAAGUUUUAUAUAAAUCACACCAAGACUCUCCUUUUAGAAGGUCUACUUAGUGCGAUGGAUAGAUAGCAUCCCAUACCACAACCUACCCUAAGUAGUACAUUCUUGUAGGAGACUUAGUUCUUCCAUUCUUUUGUAGGGAAAUAACUUUAACCGACAAGACCAUGAGAGCUAGACAUAGAAUCCCGAUACUACCCUUAUCGUAUGAGGGCUCCCUACUACCUAGGGUGGGGUCUUUAUCUUAGCUUUUACAUGGCUUUUCCAAUAGCUACACCUAUAAGGGGGCAUAGUUAUGGGAUAAGGACAUUGCUACUAAGUAAUCACUCUCUACUAACAAGGUAUAGUCAUCUCAAGAGGUACAUUGGGUACAACAUCUCUACUCACAAUGUGCAACCCACCCAUUCUUCAAAUCCUGUCGGUGCUAAGCAUAACUUCCCCACGGAGUUUAAAAAUUCAAAACUAAGGUCAAGGAUAAAUUUGACAUCCCAUCUCUACUCACAAUGGGUAUCCAUACUCCAACCUUAAUUAUAAAGCUCUUGGGAGGUAGUGAGGUUGCUACUAAACACAUCAUCUAAACUCACGAUGAGUGCUCACCCAAAACUCCUCUUUUUCAUUCACAUUCUUUAAAGUGUGAGUGUGCGUGUACAUGUGAGCACAUGUUUCAUAUAAAUCAUCAUUUUCAUAACAUUAAACACUAGACAUGCUUACACUUUCAUUCAUAAUUUCUCACAUACUAGCGUGAUCAAGAUAUACACAUACUUCAUUUAGGUAUAAUCUAAAUAAGACAUACAAUUCAAGCUUCAUAAAGUACAUCAACAUGAAUCUCAUCAUUUUCACUUCAAUUCACACGUUAGGCCUUCAAAGCCACACUCAGAAUACAUACCAAAUAUAUAUCAAAAUACAUCAAGUAAAAACCGCCCCCAAGAAGGUAAACCAUACCACUCAAGAGCAAUUUAAAAUAAGAAUAAUGCAAUAUAAGUAACUCACCAUUUAAACAAGCUUUUACCACUUAUAAUCGAUUCCUCGACAUUUCAUUAUAGUGAGGCCCUUAGGGUUGAAGCUAUACCAUAUUAACAACAUAAAGAAACCAAAUCUCAAAUACUACAUAAACAUGGUUCAUUUAACCCGUUUCUAAAGCUACAAGUUGAAAAUGUGCAUAAGCAUGAGUUCAUUGGGGGUUUAACAUUAAAAUCAUCGAUUAAUACUAGAAGAAACCUAUUUGGAUCAUUAAACCACUUUUACAUGAAGACCCAUGCUUAGAAUAAAAACUAGGAGAAAAUAAAGUUUGAAAACACUUUUUGAAAUCAUUGAAAAAUCACUCCUUGAAUAGAAGGGGGUUCAAGGAUGACUACAAUACCUCAAGUAAAAGAAAACCCCUAAUUUUUAUGAAGAAACACAGCGAAACCACCCCUCCUAGUCGACCUUGAAUUUUAGCUCCAAUGAUGACUUUGAGAGAGUUUGAAUAUUGAAGUGAGGGGUAGUGUCUAGGUCUAGGAUUUAAAAACAAUUUAAUAUAUAUUAAAACACUAAAAAUAUGGUCCAAUGGUUAUAAAAGACUUGAGUGAAUUUAAAAAAAACCUCAAGUCAAGGCAGCAGACCUGGCAGCUUUUGCAGGCCACUAUUGACGUCUCUCAACGAUGGACUGUUGAUGCUUCAAUGUCCCAUUUAUGAGGGCUUGUGGUUUGGGUCUUUAACUCCAAAACCUGCAGGCAUUCAUGUCCAGUCGACAGAUCAGGUCGACGAGCCGUCGUCUGGUCUACUGGUCCUCGACUGGCUCAUCGAUGGACACUGUUUUUGGCAGUUUUUGUCUAGAGUUGGGGUCCUCUUCUAGGGCCCCUUAUGGGUCGUAGAUGGAGUCGCUGGAUGUUAAACUCCUAUACUAAUUAAUAUAGGUAUUAUUAACAUCCCACAUCAAUAUCGAUUAAAAUAAACAUGUAAAUCCUACUCAAAAAAAUUAAGACACAUGAACACUUUCUAAGACACACCUUCCUAAUGUCAUGGACGUUCUUGGACAUUUGACCUCCAAACUUAACCAAACUUCAUACACUGCCUAAGGAUACUAAUAUAACUCAUUUUAUUACAAAAUUAACUUAAGAAACAAUUACAAAGAUCGAGUUCACCUUAGUUCAUUUUAGGGUGUUACAAAAAUAGUCCUUAAACAAUGUCUAAACCUUUUGACACUUAUUUUAGGCUCUAGAACACGUCUUAGAUUUUUUAAGUGUUACAUGGACGUCAGAAAUCUGGAUCGCCAACAAAUAUGGUGAGCUAUAGCAUACAAUAAUAGACUAAAUAGGGGAUAUGUUCACUUCGAAGCUUAUUUGACCUUGAAUAUUGGCCGACAUGGCCACGAGGCCAACUGGCUCAUAGCCAUGCCGUUAAAAGACUUCCACGGAGAAAUUUUAGCAUUUUGGUCGUCAAAGAUCCAGAUCACCAAUAAAUAUGGUGAGCUAUAGCACACGAUAUUCGACAAAAUGGGGGUCAUACACGCUUCAGGCUCGUUUGACCUUAAAAUGGUACCAUGGUCGGGAGAGCCAAUCGACUGCAUAGCCAAGGUCUUGACAAACGUGCACGAGAAACGUUGGUAUUUUAGAAGUCAGAAAUCCAAAUCACCAACAAAGGUAUUGAGUUAUAGCCCAUGAUAAUCAGCAAAAUGGGGGGUAUUCAUUCUUCGAGGAUCGUUUAAACCUUGAAAAUGGGUUAGCAUGCCGUGAGGUCCAACCAGUUUUAACGGACAUCCACGAGAGAUUUUUGCAUUUUGAAUGUUAGAAAUUCGGAUCACAAACAAAGAUGGUGAGAUAUAGCACACGAUAAUUGGAAAAAUAGGGGGAUGCAUGUGCCAGGGCUCGUUUGACCUUUAAAAUUUGACGGCAUGGUCGUGAGGGAGAACCGGCUACAUAGCCAAGGUCUUAAUAGUCGUCCAUAAGAAAUUUUAGCAUUUUGGAUGUCAUAAAUCCAAAACACCAACAAAGAUGGUGUCACAUCAAGGGAGCACCCCCUAGACGUAAUAGGUGUCGUCAUUCUCGUAGAAGAUUAUAACUAGCCUCUUAGCAUUCAUCAUAACAUAUCAUAGGUUAAAUUACGGAAAAUUUAAAACUUUUCAUCUACACUUACAUAAUGAGGUUUACAUUGACCUAUCACUUACCCAUAAAUAUAUACAUAGGGAGUUUACAUAGACUCCUCGCAUAGGAAGCACUACAUAGGCUUCUACUUUUAUUUCACAUACGUAUACAUAAAGAUAUUCUAAUAGAAAAUUGUCUCACAUUUAAACCAUCUAGUUUGAGUACAACAUUCAGGCAUAAAUCUUACAUCAUGACAACAGAAGGCAUAUAUGGUAGGCAUAUACAAUAAUAGUCUUCAAAGAGAAUGAACUAAAUGUCUUUAAUACUGAAACAAUAUCCAAUAGGUAGAUAGUGGCAUCAUCCUCGAAAGGGGAGGACCUACCAAACUUCAAGAAUGAGAGUCCAAGUUAUCUUCAAUGACCCUCUAUAAGAUUAACGGCCAGAACCUACAUAAUUGUAGAAACAUAGAAAUAUGGGUUAGUAAACACUUGUACUAAGUAUGGAAACAUGCACCUAAAAUAUACAACACAAGACUAGCAUUAUCAAGUAUAACAUCUUUGAGCACAGAACCAAAACAGCCCUAACAUCAUGCUAUAACAACAAAGCAUAUACAAGAGUUUCACAACAUUACAUCAUAUGCAAGAUCCUUACUCAUAACCCAUCAUCAAGUCUACAAGUGCAAUGACCAAGUAAAGCCCCAUAACCUUACUCAAUCAAGUAAACCAAACAAGGACAACAAGCAAUGUAUAUCCUAACAUAGCAUAACAUCAAGAGUAGCCAUCACGACAUUUAGAAAUAUAGACCAAUAACAUGUUCAUAUAGUGUCAUACACAUGUAAAUUUAAUGUAUGCAUAAUCAUUUACUUUACAUAAAAUAAGAAUAACCUUCUAGGGCUUCCCUUAAAGCCAACUAGUUCAAUGUAUAGGUAGAGUCUCAUACCCCUACCUAGACUAAGUCAAUCCCUCAAGUCACCCUAGUUUGUGUUAACUUCUUUACAUCAUUUUACUUUCAAGAACACUUGCCUUGACCGACAUAGAUCACAAGAGCUAAAUGUGGAACCUGGUAUCGUGAAACCCUACGACGAAAGUAGGUGGACUACUUGUCAAGGUAGAUCAAAACAUGAACAUAGCAUUCUAGGUUUUCCACUAGCUAGUAUUUCUAUAGGGCAACAUAGUUCAAGAACUAGGAGAUGUGUAUGGGAACCUUUGUAUGAAUAUUGCAUUAUUGUCUCCAAUCUCAUGAAUACAAUAGUGAACCUUCCCUAUUUGGGAAGGGACACUCCUCAGUACUAGUUCACUCUGUGCUAAGCUAGACUCCCUUUUUGAAAUGUCUUUAAUCCUUUAUUAAUAAUCAUAACUUAGUACAGGCCAUAAGAGACUAACCCCUUUUAUAUCAUAUCAUUUUUUCACGAGGAAUUGUGACAAUAUCCUUACAAUAGGAUUCUCAUACGUGAGAUCAGCACAUCAAAAUUAUCAUGUCUUAAUAAGGCACAUAGGCAUUACCAAUAUUAUAUCGUCACAUCUUAAACAUGAUCUCACACCUUCACAUAAUCAAGACAUUUCUAUUACAUCAUCAUACCAACACCUACUUAAUCAAUUCAAAGUAUAUGCUUCAAUUGAACUUCAUCACCAAGUACAAGUCAUCACAUUGGAGUAAAGGUUCAAGAUCACAAAGUCUUAUCGAUUUCUCCUUCAAAAGCCAUCAUCAUUGGUUUUACCCUCAACCAAUCAAAUUUCAUCGAUCAAUAGGUGUAAUAAGAUCAUACAAUAGUAAUUGACACAAUAACUAAGUCAAUUGCAUCAAUACUAGUAAAUUUUACAUGAGUGCGUCACCUAGGGUUAGGGAAUUAGGGUCAAUCCAUGAUCUAUUCCACAUAAUAGGUUAAAUUAUCAAGAACUAGUGUAAUUGAACAAUAAUAUAUCAUAAUCUAAUCUAAUCAUAAUCAUCAAAAGGAAACCAUAAACAAUACAAUUGACAAGUUCAAUUUUGGAUUAGGAAGAUAUCCAUAUGAAAUCAUCUUUUUGAAAACCAAUUUUAAAAUAACACUUUGGGGAAAGGUUUCAAUCCCUUGAUAUUCCUUGAAUAUUGAUGGAGAAGAGUGAUAUUCUUGAAGCCCUAGAACCCUUAGAACUUGCUCUUCAAUGGAGUCUUCUUUGGGAUAGAAAAAGUGGAGAGAAGAUAGAGUAAUUUGGGUUUGGGAAUUGUGGGGUGUUAAGUGGAGUUUAGGCUUAGGGUAGUUUAUAUAGACUAUCAACUAAAUUGAUUAAACACCCUUAACCCUAAUUGAACCCGUUACUAAUUAAAUAAUUAAUUGAACUCACUUAAAACUAGACAGUGAAAAUGCAGACUGGCAUAUGAGAGCCCGACCUAUAGUCUGUAGGUUAGUUGACACCCAUAUCCCCCCACCGCCCUGCAGGUCUGUAGGUAAGUUCAGAGACCGUGCAAUUUGGCCAUUUUGCAAAAAAUGACUGGGUGUCCAAUGAUGGAGGCAUCGAAGCCCCAUCUUUCCACCUAUGCCUCAUCGCCUGCAACCGUAGGUAGACACUUCCUAAUGAUAGCUUUUUGGACAAAACAGAAGGGUCCUCCUCAAGGACCCUUAGGGUAGUCCUUGGGGAGUCGUAACCGUACGUUUCGACCCUUAACGUACUCUAGUAUAUGUUUGACAGCUUUCAACAAAAUUUUAUCGAAUUCCGACUUGUAAAACCCCGCUAAAUAGGCUAAGCCACACUAGCACCUCUUUCAAUAGUGUCCAAGCGUCAUGGACGUUUCUUGACGUCUUCACUCUAAAACUUACUACAUGACUUAUAAAUAAUUUUUUGACCAUAAUAUCGUGUUACAAACUUUAGACACUCAUGUGAGGCUCUAGAUUAGGUCUUGGACUUUCAAAGUGUUACAUUAUCCCCCCAUUAGGAACAUUCAACCCCUAAUGACACUCAAAUCUUUUAAUGGGAAAGGAUAGACUCAAUACUAGCAGCUCAACCAACAAAAACAUAAUCAACAUGAGUUACAACUGAAAUCAACAAAGCAACAUGUCAUUUACACUUACCAACUCAAAACAUCAUUUAACACAUAUAAGAGCCCAACAUCAAAACAUUAGGAAUUUUCUUCUCAACAUCAACAGGAGCUCAUAUAACAUAAAGAGUCACUUACAUCAAAACUCGUUUCAAAACACAUCAACAUUCUACAUGCUUAAUAUCAUUUUAUGAAUGUCACAACAUACCAAAUAAACUAUAAAGUGUAAUUUAAGACAAAGUGCAUCUGUCCAUCAAAAUUCAUUUAGCAAAAUCUUUACCUAAUCAUGCAUAUAUUUACAAAACAAGUCAAAUUUAAAUUAACCCAUUAUUUGCAUUAUUAAUAGGAACAACUAACCUUAAUUAGCAAAGAGAUGAGGAUAACGGGACUUAAUGUCGGCCUCGGCUUCCAUGUUGCUCUCUCAACUAGGUGAUUUGUCCAUAACACCUUUAGAGAGUCCACCUCUUUGUUUCUCAACUUCUUCAUAUGUCGAUCAAGGACUUCCGCAGGAACCUCUUCAGAGGAGAGGUUCUUAUCUACAUCUAGACCUUAACUAGGAAGAAUGGACUUGGGGUCACCAAUGCACUUCUUAAGCAUAGAGACAUGGAAUACCGGAUGAACUAAAGCUAGCUUACUAGAUAAUCUCAACUCGUAUGCAACCUUACCAAUCAUUUGACAAAUUUCAUAGGGACCCACAUAACGAGGACUUAACUUCCCUUUCUUGCUAAAUCUCAUCACCCCUUUCAUGGGUGAAAUUUUUAAAUACACCUUGUUACCUUCUUCAAAUUCUAUUUCUCUUCUCCUAUCAUCGGCGUAAGACUUUUGACGGCUAGAGGCUGUUUAAAAUUGGUUCCUUAUGAUAUGAACUUUCUCCGUAGAAUUAUAGAUCAAUUCAGGACCAAAUAGUUAAGUCUCGCUAACUUUAACCCAACUAAUCGGAGAUCUACAUCUUCUACCACACAAAUCUUCAAAAGGAGCCAUGGAUAUAGUUGAAUGGUAAUUAUUGUUAUAAGAUAACUUAACUAAAGGCAAGUGCCCAUCCAAAUUUACCUUUAAAUCUAUCACAGAAGCUCUAAGCAUAUCCAAGGGUUUGAAUAGCAUACUCUGCUUGACCAUUCGUUUGGCAAUGAAAAGCAGUGCUUAACUUCAUUUGAGUACCCAAACCUUUUUGGAACGAACUCCAAAAGUGAGAAGUAAAUUGAGCACCUCUAUCUGAAAUGAUGGAUAAAGGGAUCCAUAAAGGCUCACAGUCUCAUUGAUAUAGAUCUUUGCAUACUCUUCGACCGAAUAAGUAGACUUAAUGGGGAUGAUGUGACCAGAUUUUGUCUACCUAUCCACAACCACCCAUAUAGAGUCAUUUUGCCUUUGUGUCCGAGGCAAACCCACUACGAAGUCCAUAUUAAUAUCUUCCCACAUCCAAGCGAGAACUUACGUUUCUUGAAGUAAGCCAUCAGACUUUUGGUUCUCGGCUUUCACUUAUUAGCAAUUUGGACACUUUGAAACAAAUUCUGCUAUGUCCCUUUUCAAGCCAUCCAAACAAAACACUUUUCUAAGAUCAUGAGACAUCUUAGUAGAACCCGGAUGAAUCAAAUAACGAGAAUCAUGAGCUUCCUAUAGGAUCUGGUUUCUCCAAUCAUCAUCCACAUAGGGUACACAUAACCUCCCUUGGAACCUCAACCCCCCCCCCCACGAGGAGAAUGACUCAUUAAGCUUACCAAGAACUGAUUCUUUUAAAUCCAUCAAUGAUUGAUCAAGGUGUUUCUUAAACUUAACCUAAACAACCAAACACGACUCAGAGUUAUGAUGGACCAUAAAACCACCAUUAGGAGAAUCUUCCAAUCGAACACCCAAACGAGUCAACCUAUAGAAAUCUUUCACUAGGUCUUUUUUGCCCUUUUCAAAAUGAGACAUACUACCUAUGGUUAUAUGACUUAGUGUCACGACCCAACCCGAUGGGCCGUGACUAGUGCCCGUUUUGGACACCCACAUACAAACCUGCUAAGUAUAACCAACUGAAACUAAGACAAUAUGGAAUUUAAUCAAAUCAAGCCAACCCCAACGUCAUAUAUAUAUAAGAGGACCUGUCUCAUAAAGAGUCAUAACCAUUCAACCAUAACAGCAUACGCGAGCCGACAAGGCCGCCACUAUUCAAAGCAUAAUAACAUACGUAUGCCGACAAGGCUGCCACUACACAAUACACAAUGAUGUACGCAGCGACAAGGCUGCCCCUGUACAGGCAGACAUCCCAAACAAACCAUGUCCAGACCAUUAUCCAAAACAUAUAUAUACAACCCAUAUAAUGUCCACAAACCUCUAAGAGUACAUUAGUGAAACUCGACGGGACAGGGCCCUGCCAUACCCAUAGACGAGCAAAAGACUACACAAAAGUUAUGUACCAAAACGAAUGGGCUCCGGAACAGUGGAGCUUUCCCAAUCAGCAGAGUAGAUAUCCUAGGCGGGAGGAUCACUGAACUGUGCGUCUACACCUGCAGGCAUGAAACGCAGCCCCCCGAGGAAAGGGGGGUCAGUACGGACAAUGUACUGAGUAUGUAAAGCAUAAGGUAAAGAUGACAGGAUACCAAUAUGGCAAGUCGAAACAAAAUAUCGCUACACAUAUACCCUUUUAAGUGAAAAUCAUGCAUAUAUUUAACAUUUAAGGUGCCCAGCUUCCCUAGUAAGGGGCUCGGCAAAAUAAUCAUCACUUCAUCUCCGUCAUCAUCAUCAUCAUAACCAUCCUCAUCACCAAUCAUAUAUAAUAUACAUACCCGGCCCUCUAGUGAGGAACUCGGUGACAUAUGCAAGAAACUCCGCACGAACAUUACCCGGCCCGGGACUCGGUGAAAUGAUAAAUGACUCUAUGCACGAGCAGAAUAUUAUGAGCAACCAUAUGCAAUUAAAAUCAUUUCUUAUAACUCAAUAGAACAAUCAACGUGAACCAGCAAGGAGUAUUACCAAAGAUUAAUGUUUUAUCAAGAUUAUGAACCUUUAAUACGAUAUGGAAACGUAAAAUCUCAAUGACUCUAAGAAGCACUACCAUAGAUAUUAGAGAUCAUCAUAGCCUUAGACAUAGCCGAUAUAUAGAGGAAUAAUUGUGGAAGCAAGAAUAUACGUCACCUAGACGCUGUAGAGGUAAGUAUCAAAUCUGUCCGUUAUUCGCUUAUUUUUAAAAGUCAUGCCAAACAAAGAAAGAAGGAACCGCAUACCGUAUAAUCGAGCCGCACGUCCAAUAUUUACUGCUCAAGCUAUUAAUCUAUAACAAGCAACAAUCGUGCCGCAAUUAAAUAAACAUCGUGCUUUACUUUCUUGUAAGCAAGCUAAUAAUCUAACGAAAAUUCGGCAGCACUUCCCCUAUUUUCCUUACUUCGUCCCAAUCCGACAACAAUCCAAAUUAUCCACAGCAAUACCAAUAACACAUAUAACCCAAAGAAUCAUAUUAAACAGCCCCCUCCCCAAAACAGUUCCGUCUCGGCAACCAUAGCAGCGAAGCAACGACACACCGAGCGAUAACUCAUUUUAUAAUUCGCAACACAUCUUCCUUAUCGUAUUCAUACUUUGGAGUAUAUACUCAUAAUCACAUUCAACAUAUACAUAAUGCCAAAACAGAAUUUUCCUGCAGUUUGCUUUAAUCAAAACAGUCCAAGCACCAACACGAAACCACUAAUAAUCCGAUUAUGGUUUCCGUUCAUACUUAGCACAUUCAAUAACUAAAACAAACUUCCUAAGCUACUGGUCACGCCCCCUUCUUAAAAUUAAUGGAUAAUUAACAAGGGUAUUCUAAAGAAUUAACACACCAAACAAGGAUAUUACUAACCAAAUUAUUUGCAGCUGCUGGCCAAGAGUUGCAGGGUUGGUUUCUCCAUUUCCAUGGCUGCCUAAGACAAGUGGUGAAGAAGAAGAUGAUAUGCAGCAAUGGUUUCACCACUUUAUUUAGCAUGGAGUCGAUUUCUCCACCUCAUUUAAUAGUAUGAAGUGGAGGCAUCCCCCCUCUACACCUGUCCACUAAGGCCAGCCCACAAUCUGAUCCCUUUUUAAUUUUUGCCUUGAGUGGUGGGGCCCACUGGAUUAAAUUAAUCCUAAUCAGCCACCAAUUAUGAGUGGUGGGGCCCAUUGGAUUAAAUCAAUCCAAAUUAGCCACUAAUUAAUCCCUCACUUAAAGUUAAUGGCACUUACAUUAGCCAACUCAUACUUAAUAUCACAUUUGGAAAUAACAUCCUUUCCUAAUAUUUCUUUACGUCUUCUAGAUCACGAUGCGCACUACGUAUAAAAAAAAUACGAGGCAUAACACUUAGAGAAUCCACAACAACAUCGGCCUUGCCAGGAUGGUAGAAAAACCUCAUGUCAUAAUCUUUCAACAAUUACAACCACCUUCAUUGUCGGAGAUUUAACUCCCUUUGAGUAAACACAUAUUCAAUACUCUUGUGGUCGGUAUACACAUGAUCAUGGAAACCAUAAAGGUAGAGCCUCCAUAUUUUCAAGGCAAACACCACGACCUCUAACUCAAGAUCUCAUGAGUAGGGUAGUUCUUCUCAUGAACCUUGAGUUGUCUAGAAGCAUAGGAUAUAACCUUCCGGUGUUGCAUAAGGACAACCCAAUACCACUCGAGAUGCAUCACAAUAUACCAUAAAAUCGUUAGUACCCUUCGUUAUACUCAACACCAUAGUGGUGGUAAGCUAGAGUCCUUUUUUGAAAUGUCUUUAAUGUCUUUAUUAAUCAUCAUAGCUUAUUGUAGGCCAUAAGUCACAUUGGUAAAUCAUUCACCCAUCCUUAUAACAUUUACAUCUUACCCAACACCUCUCAAACUAUAGUCGAGACAUUUUAAUUCAACAUCAUACCACCCUAUCAACCCUAUACAAGGCAUAAUCCAAUACAACAUCAUGAUUUAAUCACAAUUUGAACUAAAUUCAACACCGGAGUGGUGAUAAACCGAUCUGAGCUCUAUCUUUGAGAAAUGGAUAGCACCUUGAAGUUGGUCAAAGAAGUCAUCAAUACUAGGUAUGUGAUACUUAUUCUUGAUUGUGACCUUGUUCAACUGUCUAUAAUCAAUGCACAUUCUGAGAGAACCAUUUUUCUUCUUUACGAACAACACUAGAGCACCCCAUGGUAAAAUACAAGUUCUGAUGAAGCCCUUAUCUAAAAGGUCUUUCUACUGCUCUUUCAAUUCUUUAAGCUCCGCUGGAGCUAUUUUGUAAGGAGGAAUAGAAAUAGGGUAGGUAUCUUGAAGGAGAUCAAUUCUAAGGUCGAUUUUUCUUUCGGGAGGGACUCUAAGAAGAUCUUCUGGAAAUACUUCUGGUAACUCAUAGACUACUGGAACUAAUUCAAGAGUUGGGGUUUCAGAGACAGAAUCCUUAACCCAAACUACAUGAUAGAGAUAACCCCUAGGCGCUACGGUACUACCCUUCCAUUCUAAGAUUAGUUCAUUUGGAAACUGAAAAUGAACAAUCCUAGUUCGACAAUGGAUUGAGGCAUAGCAGGAACGUAACCAAUCCAUGCAAAAAAUGACAUCGAAGUCUACAAUUUCCAACUCUACAAGAUGUGCUGAGGUGAAUUUCUGAGAGAUUGUGACAGGACAAAUUUUGUAUACCCGUCAAGCUAUAACUGUGUCACCAACUGGAGUAGAGACUGAGAAAGGUUCUGAGAGAGAUUCUGAACUAACAAUGAAUUGGACUGCUAUAGUGAGUUACAAAACACAAAGUCUCUCUAUUGUUUUUCCACUAAGUGAACCAUAUUGAGUCACAUCCUUAAGCUAGUAGGAUGUCAAGUUCACCUAUCACUACCAGUUACUUGCAUCACACAAAAUAUUUUCUUGACUUUAUUAAUGAACUUCUAUGGAUUCUUACAAUCUUGCGACCAUAAAAACAUAAGAGGAUUCAUCCUAACAAAAUCUAAAACUCUGUCUGCAACAGAUCAAUCAUUUCUAUUAGUAGGAACUAAAACCUACUAAUCGUUCUUGUUGGUCAUACUCUCAGCCAACAUUUGUAUAUAGUUUCUGAAGUCAGCAUUGGAUACUUCCUGAUCUAGGACCGAAGUAGCUGCGUUUGCAUUCCUGGCAUUCACAUUCCUAGCGUUAGCUCUAUGAGGAGGCAUGAUCUAAAACAUAGAAGGCCAAGUUAGAAUUGAAUAAAAUCAUACCUCACGCAGAAAAGAGUAACAAGAAAGUGAAGUUUUUCCUAAAACAGUUCAUAGCCUCCCUCUCAUUAGAUGUGGUGCACUACACACCCAUGAAAAGGACUCUGCUUAGUGCAGCUUCUCAGAUAUCGCUGAAUUCUUGAAUCUAGUGCUCCGAUACAAAGUUUUGUCAUGCCUCGAGCUACCCCCGAGACGUGGAUAUAGAACCUAAGGCCAAGAGUGAUCCUAAGCUAACUCUGUUGGCACGAUCAUGAGCAUACUAAAGAUAAUAUUGAUGAGUUUAAUACAAAGAAAUUAUUAACUCAAUAUUACUCAAAAACUAUCUAUAUCUGAAGUAAGCCUCUAUUGACUAGAAAUACUGGGACAAGCCCCAACUAAGUCUAGCAAAAACUGAAACUCAAUGACUAAAAGACUGAAAUCAACUCAUGUCUAUUGUCCUCGGAGAAUGAGGACUCACCACUGAAUCUACUGAAUUGGAGAUCGAGAAUAGAUCUAAGCAUGAUUUGAAUGCUGAGAACCUGAACCUACAUCAUGAGAAGAUGUAGCGCAUGUAUGCGUCAGUACUUGAACGUACUAAGCAUGUAGGAUAGAGUAAAGCUGAAAUAAAACAUAACUCAACAAUCGUAAAAGCAAGUAUAAUAAUUUGAACAUGAUAUACUGAAUUUUUAGCUAACUAGAUGCAAUGACCAAUUUAUAAUAUGCUGAAACUGAAUACUGAAUAUACUAAAAAAUGGUCAAUGCAAGAGAGUCUGACUGAAUUGUGGGAGCUACUAAUAACUGAUAAUAAAAGCACAUGAGCUAAAUGUGGAUUCCGAUGUAUAGGCCCCAUUGCGAGGACCCAACAUACCCUGCUAAAGGUAUAAAUGCAUGCUGGAGUGAUCACUAAACUGAUUGACCACAGAGAGAACUUACAACCUACUUGGCUAGUAGUUCUGGACUAAUUGGGUACGCUAAACCAUAGUCCAACUCGGUAUUAUGCUACUCCAAAUGAAUUAUGCCAUUAACUGAUUAUGAGUUUAUGUAAAUACAUGAUAUCUCAAAAUUGAACAUGCAAACUAAGAAUGCAACAAUUAAUGUGUUAACUAUGCAUUUAUAACUGAGGCAUGUAUGUCUGAAGUAAUUUGAAUCUGACCUAGUAUGUUUAAUCCAGAACAAAAGAAAUACAUAGCCAGGGUUCCGAAAUCCAUGCAUUAAACUGAAUAAUAGCCUUACAAUCUGAUUUGGAAUAUAUAACUAAUAAAUUCAUGAAGUUCUGUUGAUUUUCUAGAAAACCUAGGUCUAAUCAUGAUAUGGGAAUCAAAAAUCUGACUGAAAAACUAGGGACCCAAUGGUGAAAGGAAUCAACUAGUGAAAUCCCACAUACCUAGUGAUGAAAUUCACGGAGAAACACUUAGAUUUUGGGGCUAGAACUGCUGGAACAUUGCUGCAUUCUUGAACUAGGGUUCUUGACCUUUUUUCUCCUUUCUUGCUUCUAAUUUUCUAUGUUUUGAUUAAUGAUUUGACUUAGAUAAGUUUUAGUUAUAUUUCUAAGCUUAAACUAACUAAAAUAUAAGGAUUUAGGGUAAAAAUAAUGUUUCUUAGGGUUUAAAUAAAGUGGGAAAUAUUUAGGGUAAAAAUAAUGUUUCUUAGGGUUUAAAUAAAGUGGGAAAAGACCAAAAGACCCCUACGUUAAACGUUGUCGAAGUCAACUGACUGACCGUAACUCGACUGAUGCUUCGUACUAGUAAACUGUUGUUGUGACUGAGAGUUCAAAGUUAGCUGGGGAACCGAUGGAGUUUUACUGACGUAAGUUCACUGCCGGUUCGUACUGGUCAACCAUCGUUUGCGACUAAGAACUAGAAGUAAGCUGAUCAAUCGACGGAGUCAACUGAUAGACCACAAGUCAAUUGACAUUCUGUACUAGUCGACCGUCGUAUGUGACUUGGAACUGAGAGUCAGCUAGACCAUAGACGCAGUCGACUGACGGUCCGUAGCUAGCUCCGAAGCUGGCACCUACAACUUUUUAAAUCUGUAUUUUUUGUACUUUUUUUGAUACGGGGUGUAACAAUGUUGGUGUCACAUUUGCUUCCCAUGUCAUUGUCAUUAUCUAUAGUCCAUAUCUGUAUGUCUUCUACAAUUGGUCCAAACCUCAACAAUGAUUAUGACCACCAAAACAUCAAUCCCAAAUGAUUUACUACAAACAAAAGAACAAUAUCAAAAGAGUUAUGAUUAUACAAAAGUACAUAGUCUCAAAAGAGUUAUAAAUAUCAAAGCAACAAUCUCAAAGAUUAAAAAGUUUAAGUGAAGAAAUUUUUAUAAUUAUGGGUGGCAGCCCAGGGGCAAAGCCUAGCAUGGGUCAAUCCUAAUUGGUACAAAAGGGUGGCCGCUCAGGGGUGAACGCCUAGCAUGGGCCGAUCUCGAUUGGUAUAAGAGGGUGGAAGCUCAUGGUCGAAAGCCUAGCAUGGGCAUUCCAAUUUUUGGAAUUAUGAGGACAACAUCCAAGGGUUUAAUAUCCCUAUCAUGGGUUGUGCUCACCUUCCACUGAUCAGCUGGUCAUUUCUAUCAUAUGGCUUACAAAAAUUUAACGCACAAAAAAGUAAAGAAAAGAAUGUAACAUACACAAUUCCACAAGUAUAAGCAAAGGUGGUUAAUCCUUAGCUACUGGUAUUAGGUUUCACAUCGGCUCUGAUGUCACAUAUGGUUGUAUUGUGCCUUACAUAUUCAGUACAUUCUUUCAUACUGACGUCCCUUAUUGGGGCGCUGCAUUUAAUGUUGCAGGUACAAGUGUUCAAAAGUAGAUCUCCCCAAUAGAAGUUCAUGAUACUCAGAUAUUGUCGGUGUGCUCCAGGUUGAGUUGAGGCAUUUAUGAGUCUUUACGAUGCGUAUUUUCAAAGCAUGGAUUCCAAUAGUGGCUUUGUAGACAUUGUAAUGCUAUCAUCUGUUUCAUAGCUUCACUUGUCACAUGUAUUGGUUCAGCUAGUCAAAAUGUGUUGUAAAUAAAGCUUUUCAUCACUAAUCUGCAGUUUAAUUUCGCAUCAUAGGUUACUUGUAAAGCAUGUAUUUAUACGGUACUUGUCCUCCUAACCAAGUGUUGGGGUGUGAAAUCUAGAUACACAUAGUAUUAUAUAUAUAUCGAGUAUACAAAGACCCUUCGUAUUGAAAUAUUAAAUAGUCUUCUACUUUAUUGCACAUAGGUAAACAAAAUAAAACAUAGUCUCAAAAUUGUGGUAUCAAUUCAUUACCAUCUAAUAGGAGAAUAUCAAAUUGGGCCUAGCCCAUACACCAAUGAAACAAGACGACAUAUAGGUCAUACAACGUUUUAGUAUCCAAAUGAAAAGGAAAGACACAUAAGAGUAUUAAUACUAAAAAUAACAUCAUGGCUUGAUAGUGGCAUCGCCUUAGAAAAGUGAUGACCUGCCUUACUUGGAUGAUUAAGAAACCCAAGUCUUCUUCAAUGUCAUCUCGAAAAGCCCUUCAACGACCGGAACCUAAAAUGUUCGGGAAAAGGAAACAAUGGGGUUGGUUCACCAUUUUAAUAAGUAUGAGACCAUAUUCACACAUAUCAUAAAAAUAUGCUAAAAGGGACAUUUCUUUAAGUACACAAUUUACUUUGAAAACCUUUAUGCACAUUCAACAAGACUAUACCAAAUCAUUUAGGCAUAUUCAUUAAGUAAUAGACAUGUGCAUCACAAGACAACAACAUCAAAACUAGUCAAUUCAACAUGCAUAUCAUGUAAUUGAAUACAAAGUCAAGUAACUCUAUCAUCAAGUCAUAAAUAACCACAAGCAUGAAUAAGAGUACAUUUCAUCAUAAGCAAAGUAAGACAAUUACCCAUGAACACCUAUCAAGUCUACAAGUGCAAUUACCAAGCGAAGCCCUGUAACCUUACUUGAUCUAAUAACUCAACAAGAAUCAUAAUCAACAUUCAACUUCAAAUCACGACAUUUAAGAGUACAUAGCAUCAUACUUUCACAAUAUUGACCAGUACAUAUUCAUAAGUGACACCAAUCAACAUAUCGUAUCAACGAUGUGCAAGUUCACCUUAUACAUAUCAUGUAGCAUUAAUUCAUACAAAACAAAAUCCUCCUAAGACUUCCCUUAAGGAUAACUAGUGCAAUAUUUAGGUAGAGUCCCAUACCCCCGACCUAGAUUAAGCUAAACCCCUUAGGUUAUCCUAGUUAGAGUUCAUUCAUUUAUUUCAUUUUACAUUUUAGGACAUCUUGCCUUAACUGAAAUAGACCACAUGAGCUAAUGUGGAAUCCGGUGUCAUGGAACCCUACACCGAAAGUAGGUGGACUACUUUCCAAGGUAGUAUCAAAACAUGAACAUAGCAACUACGUGGAUCCACUAGCUGGUAUUCCUAUUCCGGAAACAAAGUUCAAGAACUAGGAGAUAUAGUUGGAAUCCUCCUUAUGCUACAUGCAUUAUGGUCUCCAAUCUAAAGAGUAAUUUAGUGAUCCUACCUUUCCUAUGUGGGAAGGGACACUUCUCACUCUAAUUCACUCGGUGCUUAGCUAGAGUCCCUAUUUGAAAUAGCUUAUUGUAGGUCAUAGGGUCUAACUCUUGUAUAAUCAUCAUCAUCAUCUUAUCUCAAUAAGAAUUUCAUGAUUAUAAUCCUUUCAUUACAAUUCAUAUAGGUGAGGUCAUCACAUUAAAAUUUUCAUAUCAUGAUAAGGUACAUUGGUAAAUCAUUCAUCCAUUCUUAUAACAUUUACAUCUUAGCCAGCACCUCUCAAACCAUAGUCAACACAUUUUAAUUCAACAUUAUAUAACCCUAUAAAUACUAUAAAUGACAUACUCCAAUACAAUUUCAUGAUUUAAUCACAAUUAACAGCAACAUGAAGUAAAGGAUAGGGAUCACAAGACUUACCAAGUCUCCUUCAUAACCCAUCAUCAAGGUCUUACCAUCAAGCCUUAACUCAAACCAAUAAGGGUGUAACAUCAUCAUAAUUCAAUAAUAAACAUGAUAUCAAGGCCAAAAUAAUCACUACAUCACAAUCCAAUACUAGUUCAUAGCUUAAUACAAGAUUCUUGGGUCAAUUCACAACAUACUUCAUAACCUAGAUCAUUUCUCAAGAACUAUCAUGAAAGGAAUAUACUUAACCCUAAUUAAUUCAUUAUUAGUAUAACAAUAUCAUCUAGUAGUAAUUCAAUCAAUAACCAAGUCAAUUAAAGCAGUACAAUAUAAUUCAUAUCACGAUCGUCACUUAGGGUAAAGGGGUAAAGUUCAUCUGCUAUAAACUAGACUAGACCAUCAAGUUAUAUCAUAAUUAAGUUACAAUACAUGUUAAUAUAUUCAUAAUAUCAAAAAUAAAUAAUAAAUAAAUCAAUUCAUAACAUAAUUUUUUAGAUUGUAUGAAACCCACUUGAAAACUUAACUUUUGAAAUCAAUUUGAUGGAACCCUUUGAGGAAAGAGGUCUCAAAGGUGAAAGAGAUACCAGACCUUUUUAAUUUUGAUAAAUAUUUAUGGAGAAACAUGACUCUUUUCAUACCUUAAACCCUCCCCUAGCAUUGUAUUCAAUGGAGUUCUUCACUAGUGAGAGAAAAAGAGAGAGAAAGAAGAGAUUUUGGGUUUGUGAGUUGUGAGAGUUUUGAUUAGUUUAGUGGGGCUGGGUGUUUUAUGGGGUGUUAAUGAACCUAAUUAGACUUACCUUAACCCCUAAAUAAAAAACUAACCCCUUUAUUAAUUAAUUGGAACUAACUUAAAUGUGCAGAAAAUCAGGCCCUCAUAAACGAGACAUCGACCAACGGUCUGUCUCUAAGUCGACGACCCCUGCCUCCUCCUGUGCUACACAUCCAUAGGGAAGUUCAGAGACUGUUCCAAACGUACCGUUAGCCAAAAUGCUAUGUUUUGGUCAAUUGAUUUUAUUGACGUCCCAUCGAUCCACAAGCACCCCCUCGUUACCGUUCGUGGGUGCACACUAUCAAGACAGUCUUUGACCCAAAAUGCAAGGGUCUUCCUCAGGGGCCCUUGGUUUGUACUUGGGGAUUUGUACCCAAAAUUAUCGACUAUGAAUCAACUUAAACACAUGUUAUACACCCUUCCACCAAUUUCAUCAUUUUCCAACUUUUAAAAGUUUGUCAAACAGGCUAAGACACGCUAGCACCUCAUUGAACUAGUUUCCGAAUGACAUGGACGUUCUUGGACGUUUUGGUUUCUAGACUUCCUAAAUGACUUAUAUUCAUAAAAAUAGAUCUUAAAACAUUUUAUACACAUUAUGAAACUUACUUUAGCUCGAGAACACGUUUUGGAUUUUCGAAGUGUUACAAUGAUCAUCCUUCUUAUUGUUGUCCUUGUGUUUAUAGGAGAUAACUUAUAUAAGGAUGCCCGCAAGAAGUUUGGGAGAGGAACAAGUGCAUGAAGGAGUUUCUCAAGUUGAUAACGUCCCUUAUGUGAGUGAAGGUAAUGACGGUUCGGUGGUUCCCCCGCAAAUGACUAAUGGAGAGAUUAGAGAGGCUCUCUUUGCACUAGCUCGAGUAAUAACGACUCAUGUGAAAUGAGGUGUUGAGCAUAUGAUGCAUGUUUUAGAGGGUACCAUGACCUCUAGGUUGAGGGACUUUGUGAGGAUGAAUCCUCAUAUGUUUCUUGGCUGAAAGGUAUGGAGAGGAUCCCCAAGAGUUUCUUGAUGGUGUGUAUAAGGUGUUGAGUGCAAGGGGGGUGGCUCCUAUGGAGAAGGCAGAAUAGGAUUCGUACCAAUUGAGGGAGGUUUUUCAAGUAUCGUAAACACAAUAGAAAUAUAAUAGGCUAGUUGAGUCGGGUCCUAUAGAGUGGGAAGAGAUCAAGGAGGCUUCUCAGGAAAGUACUUUCCACGUGAGAGGAGGGAGGCGAAGGUCGGAGAUUUCAUUUACCUUAGGCAAGGUAAUGUGGCUGUUGAAGAAUCCAAACUUAGGAGAAGAGCAAGCUUGGAUUUUGAAGAGGAGUAAAUCAAAUGAGAAGAAUGAAAUUACGUUUAAGAAGAGGGCCCCAAAUUAAGAUGGGGUUAGUGCUUCUAAGGGCAAGCUUGAGAGAGGUGGUGGACCUCGAAUUAUAAAGCCUACUUGUUCUACUUCUCGAAAAAAUCAUGUUGGGAAGUGUCUAUCCGGAACUGAUAUGGUUGUGGUGAAGAGGUUCAUAAGGUGAGAAUUUAUAUUGCUAAUUCGGCUAAAGGAAGGAAGGCCAAGGAAGUUCCUCGUUAUAUUCCGAAAGAGGAUGUUGGUAAGUUCUAAUAUUCUCUCUCAAAUGUUAUGAGUUCCUUAUAAGUGGGGGAGUAUGGUGAGUAGUGGAGUUGUGGUUAUUGUCUCUUCUCUUCAAUUCUACUCAAGCUUGAGAGUUAGAAAGUCAUAGUAGCAUGUUGCAUGUUGCAUUGUGUUUAAGAGUUUUGUAGAAAUUGAAUUUCAUUGAUUCCUUGCAUUGUGCAUUUUAUUAAGAUAUAGUUAUGCUGUUAAAUGAGUUUAUAUGGUUUUAUAUCUCAUAUUAUCAUGCUUCCAUCAUCAAUUUCUUAAGAGUUGCAUUUUUUAAAAGUUGAGCAUAAUUCACUGUACUAUUUUGGUGUUCAGUGUGAAAUUUUUUGAAAUUAUACUAAAUUUUUCUUUUGUUGAAAAUUGUUGUGAUAUGUAUAGUAUUGAUGUAUAUAAGCAUGAUAAUGAAUGUAUAAGGAGUUCCUCCUAUUUGAAAUGAAGAAUGUGAGUCUUAUUGCAUGUUGAGUAGUAGAUUUGUUUCUAUCUUCAUGUUGUGUUUUGAGUCUCUUAAGUUUGUGAAAUUUUUGUUCUUCCUAAAUAUGUUAUGCCUCGUAUUUUUUUUAUACGUAGUGCGCAUCGUGAUCUAGAAGACGUAAAGAAAUAUUAGGCAAGGAUGUUAUUUCCAAAUGUGAUAUCAAGUAUGAGUUGGCUAUGUAAGUGCCAUUAACUUUAAGUGAGGGAUUAAUUAGUGGCUAAUUUGGAUUGAUUUAAUCCAAUGGGCCCCACCACUCAAGGCAAAAAUUAAAAAGGGAUCAGAUUGUGGGCUGGCCUUAGUGGACAGGUGUAGAGGGGGGCUGCCUCCACUUCAUACUAUUAAAUGAGGUGGAGAAAUCCACUCCAUGCUAUAUAAAGUGGUGAAAUGCAUUGCUGCAUAUCAUCUUCUUCUCCACCACUUGUCUUAGGCAGCCAUGGAAAUGGAGAAACCAACCCUGCAACUCUUGGCCAGUAGCUGCAAAUAAUUUGGUUAGUAAUCUCCUUGUUUGGUGUGUUAAUUCUUUAGAACACCCUUGUUAAUUAUCCAUUAAUUUUAAGAAGGGGGCGUGACCAGUAGCUUAGGAAGUUUGUUUUAGUUAUUGAAUGUGCUAAGUAUGAAUGGAAACCAUAAUCGGAUUAUUAGUGGUGUCGUGUUGGUGCUUGGGCUGUUUUGAUUAAAGCAAACUGCAGGAAAAUUCUAUUUUGGCAUUAUGUAUAUGUUGAAUGUGAUUAUGAGUAUAUACUCCAAAGGAUGAAUACGAUAAGGUAGAUGUGUUGCGAAUUAUAAAACGAGUUAUCGCUCGGUGUGUCGUUGCUUCGCUGCUAUAGUUGCCGAGACGGAACUGUUUUGGGGAGGGGGCUGUUUAAUGUGAUUCUUUGGGUUAUAUGUGUUAUUGGUAUUGCUGUGGAUAAUUUGGAUUGUUGUCAGAUUGGGACGAAGUAAGGAAAAUAGGGGAGGUGCUGCCGAAUUUUCGUUAGAUUAUUAGCUAGCUUACAAGAAAGUAAAGCACGAUGUUUAUCUAAUUGCGGCACGAUUGUUGCUUGUUAUAGAUUAAUAGCUUGAGCAGUAAAUAUUGGACGUGCGGCUCGAUUAUACGGUAUGUAACGCUGUCCCUUCUUUCUUUGCUUGGCAUGACUUUUAAAAAUAAGCGAAUAACGGACAGAUUUGAUACUUACCUCUAAAGCGUCUAGGUGAUGUAUAUUCCUGCUUCCACAAUUAUUCCUCUAUAUAUUGGCUAUGUCUAAGGCUAUGAUGAUCUCUAAUAUCUAUGGUAAUGCUUCUUAGAGUCAUUGAGAUUUUACGUUUCCAUAUCUUAUUAAAGGUUCAUAAUCUUGAUAAAACAUUAAUCUUUGGUAAUACUCCUUGCUGGUUCACGUUGAUUGUUCUAUUGAGUUAUAAGAAAUGAUUUUAAUUGCAUAUGGUUCCUCAUAAUAUUCUGCUCGUGCAUAGAGUCAUUUAUCAUUUCACCGAGUCCCGGGCCGGGUAAUGUUCGUGCGGAGUUUCUUGCAUAUGUCACCGAGUUCCUCACUAGAGGACCGGGUAUGUAUAUUAUAUAUAUGAUUGGUGAUGAGGAUGGUUAUGAUGAUGAUGAUGAUGGAGAUGACGUGAUGAUUAUUUUGCCGAGCCCCUUACUAGGGAAGCUGGGCACCUUAAAUGUUAAAUAUAUGCAUGAUUUUCACUUAAAAGGUAUAUGUGUAGCGAUAUUUUGUUUCGACUUGCCAUAUUGGUAUCCUUUCAUUUUUACCUUAUGCUUUACAUACUCAGUACAUUGUCCGUACUGACCCCCUUUCCUCCGGGGGCUGCGUUUCAUGCCCGCAGGUGUAGACGUGCAGUUCGGUGAUCCUCCCACCUAGGAUAUCUACUCUGCUGAUUGGGAGAGCUCCACUGUUCCGGAGCCCAGUCGUUUUGGUACAUAACAUUUGUGAAGUCUUUUGCUCGUCUAUGGGUAUGGCGGGGCCCUGUCCCGUCGAGUUUCACUAAUGUACUCUUAGAGGUCUGUGGACAUUAUGUGGGUUGUAUAUAUAUGUUUUGGAUAAUGGUCUGGACAUGGUUUGUUUGGGAUGUCCGCUUGUACAGGGGCAACCUUGUCGGCUGCGUACAUCAUUGUGUAUUGUGUAGUGGCAGCCUUGUCGGCAUACGUAUGUUAUUAUGCUUUGAAUAGUGGCGGCCUUGUCGGCUCACGUAUGCUGUUAUGGUUGAAUGGUUAUGACUCCUUAUGAGACAGGUCCUCUUAUAUAUAUAUGACGUUGGGGUUGGCUUGAUUUGAUUAAAUUCCACAUUGUCUUAGUUUCAGUUGGUCAUACUUAGCAGGUUUGUAUGUGGGUGUCCAAAACGGGCACUAGUCACGGCCUAUCGGGUUGGGUCGUGACAAAGAGUGGUAUCAGAGCGGUUCUUCCUCGGAAGUGUCUACAGACCGUGUCUAGUAGAGUCUUGUUUAUCGGUGUGUUGUGCACCACAUCUAUAAACAGGAAGCUACAGGACAUUUAGGAUGUCAUUCUUUCUUCUUAUUCUAGAUCGUGCGAUAGAGCUAUAUUAACGGGAUAAUCCCUCUCUAACGAAUCCGUGUGUUUUCAGCUAUGCCUCCAAAGAAAGCGACAGCCGCCCAGAAGGGAAAAUCGGUAGCAGAAGGUACUAGUCAGACCCGGAGAGUUACUAGGGCCCGUGCCCAGUCUAUGCCUGGUAUUAUGCUCCAGUCGGAGAGCUCUGCUACACCCCCACCGCCAGAAGAGCUUAGAGCAGCAGCAGCUCCAGUUCGGGGGACACCACCAGCCCCCGAGGCCCCAACAUCUGAACCUCCAGCUCCUCAGUCAGGGGCGGAGGAUAGGGCCAUGAGAGAUGCGGUUCAAUUGCUGACUAGAUUAGUGGCAGAUCAGGCUCGCAGGCAUGGACUAGGAGUUGAUCAUGCGGACAGAUCUGAUAGCUUAAGGGCUCGUGACUUCUUAAGUUGUAAUCCUCCAGAGUUCUUUGGGUCAAGGCCCCAGGAUGAUCCGCAAGAGUUUAUUCGUCAGAUGCAGCGUACAUUGAGGAUAAUCAAGGCUUUGGAGACCGAGUCUGUUGAGUUGGCUACGUAUCGUUUGCGGGAUGUAGCUAUUAAUUGGUAUGAGUCUUGGGAGUUAUCUAGGGGUGAGGGUGCCCCUCCAGCGGUAUGGGAUGAAUUUGUGGAGGCUUUCCAGGGCCACUUCCUGCCUCCAGAGAUGAAGCGAGCUAGAGUUGAUAAAUUCUUGCGUUUGAAGCAAAAUGGAAGGAGCGUUCGAGAGUAUAGCCUCGAGUUUGAUUCAUUGGCUAGGCAUGCGCCUACUAUUGUGGCUGAUAUGGCAGACAGGGUACAUCGUUAUGUGAUGGGAUAUGGUUCAGGAGAUUCAGCGGCUAUCCAGCCUUGGAGUCCGUCUAGCUAAUUCGGAAGAUAGUGGAGUUUCUAUUCGAGAGGUUGAUGAGUCCUCAAUCAUAGAUGAGGUAAAGAGACACCAAUACAAGGACCCUAUUCUGGCACAGUAUAGAGAUGCAGCUCUUCAAAAGGAAAAGACCCUAUUUAAGGUUACACCUGAUGGAGUGUUACGAUAUGAAGGCAGAUUGUGUGUACCCGAUACUGCGGGGCUACGACGGCAAGUUAUGGGAGAGGCACACUCUGCCCGUUAUUCUAUUCAUCCAGGGUCAACAAAAAUGUAUCAUGACCUCAGAUGCUUAUAUUGGUGGGAUGGCAUGAAAAAGGACAUAGCAGAGUUUGUUGCUCAGUGCCCAAAUUGUCAACAAGUCAAGAUCGAACAUCAAAAGCCUGGUGGAUUAUUACAGGAGAUAGAGAUCCCGACUUGGAAAUGGGAGAUGAUUAAUAUGGACUUCAUUACAGGCUUACCUCGCACUCAACGGAAGUAUGACUAUAUGGGUUAUUGUAGAUAGGCUGACGAAAUCGGCCCAUUUUCUUCCAGUCAGGACUACUUAUUCGGCUGAAGAUUAUGCGAGGUUAUAUGUCAGGGAGAUAGUGAGACUUCAUGGGGUUCCCACGUCCAUUAUAUCAGACAGAGGAGCUCAAUUUACAGCCAACUUUUGGAGAUUGUUUCAGAAGGGAUUGGGGACACAGGUGAACCUUAGCACAACAUUUCACCCUCAGACUGAUGGGCAGGCUGAGCGUACUAUUCAGACACUAGAAGAUAUGUUGCGGGCCUGUAUUAUUGACUUCAAAGGCAGCUGGGAUGACCACUUGCCGCUCAUUGAGUUUGCCUAAAAUAAUAGCUACCAUUCUAGUAUCCAGAUGGCACCGUACGAGGCCUUAUAUGGGAGAAAGUGCAGAUCACCUAUUGGUUGGUUUGAUGUUGGCGAGACUAAGUUAAUAGGCCCGGAUGUGAUUCAGCAAGCUGUUGACAAGGUGAAGCUUAUUCAAGAAAGAUUAUUAGCAGCCCAGAGUCGACAGAAGUCAUAUGCAUAUAAUCGGCGUCGAGAUUUGGAGUUUCAGAUUGGUGACUGGGUAUUCCUGAAGGUAUCACCCAUGAGGGGUGUGAUGAGAUUCGGUAGGAAGGGGAAGCUCAGUCCGAGAUACAUUGGGCCUUAUCAGAUUGUUCGUAGGAUAGGCAAGGUUGCCUAUGAGUUGGAUCUACCAUCUGAUUUGGAGGCGGUACAUCCAGUCUUCCAUGUAUCGAUGCUACGUAAAUGUAUUGGUGAUCCUUCUAGAGUAUUCCCUGUAGAUGAUAUUCAGGUAACAGAGGAGUUGUCAUAUGAGGAGAAACCCGUGGCUAUACUUGAUCGUCAGGUUAGAAGGUUACGUACUAAGGAUGUGGCUUCCAUCAAAGUGUUGUGGAAAAAUAACAAUAGGGAGGAGAUGACUUGGGAAGCGGAAGACGAAAUGAAGAAUAAGUAUCCUUACUUGUUCCCCGUACCUGCAGGUAAUUCAAUUCCUAGCUUGACUAUAUUGAUAGAUAAUGAGAUUAUGUAGCUGUGAGGCAUCUGUAAGUUACAUAAUGCAGGUUGAUAGGUAUAACUUUUAGAGAGACCUCGCUGGAAUUUGUUUUUGCAAGACGCUAACUUAACAUUCGAGGACGAAUGUUCCUAAGGGGGAGAGGAUGUUAUGCCUCGUUUUUUUAUACGUAGUGCGCAUCUUGAUCUAGAAGACGUAAAGAAAUAUUAGGCAAGGAUGUUAUUUCCAAAUGUGAUAUCAAGUAUGAGUUGGCUAUGUAAGUGCCAUUAACUUUAAGUGAGGGAUUAAUUAGUGGCUAAUUUGGAUUGAUUUAAUCCAAUGGGCCCCACCACUCAAGGCAAAAAUUAAAAAGGGAUCAGAUUGUGGGCUGGCCUUAGUGGACAGGUGUAGAGGGGGGCUGCCUCCACUUCAUACUAUUAAAUGAGGUGGAGAAAUCCACUCCAUGCUAUAUAAAGUGGUGAAAUGCAUUGCUGCAUAUCAUCUUCUUCUCCACCACUUGUCUUAGGCAGCCAUGGAAAUGGAGAAACCAACCCUGCAACUCUUGGCCAGUAGCUGCAAAUAAUUUGGUUAGUAAUCUCCUUGUUUGGUGUGUUAAUUCUUUAGAACACCCUUGUUAAUUAUCCAUUAAUUUUAAGAAGGGGGCGUGACCAGUAGCUUAGGAAGUUUGUUUUAGUUAUUGAAUGUGCUAAGUAUGAAUGGAAACCAUAAUCGGAUUAUUAGUGGUGUCGUGUUGGUGCUUGGGCUGUUUUGAUUAAAGCAAACUGCAGGAAAAUUCUAUUUUGGCAUUAUGUAUAUGUUGAAUGUGAUUAUGAGUAUAUACUCCAAAGGAUGAAUACGAUAAGGUAGAUGUGUUGCGAAUUAUAAAACGAGUUAUCGCUCGGUGUGUCGUUGCUUCGCUGCUAUAGUUGCCGAGACGGAACUGUUUUGGGGAGGGGGCUGUUUAAUGUGAUUCUUUGGGUUAUAUGUGUUAUUGGUAUUGCUGUGGAUAAUUUGGAUUGUUGUCAGAUUGGGACGAAGUAAGGAAAAUAGGGGAGGUGCUGCCGAAUUUUCGUUAGAUUAUUAGCUAGCUUACAAGAAAGUAAAGCACGAUGUUUAUCUAAUUGCGGCACGAUUGUUGCUUGUUAUAGAUUAAUAGCUUGAGCAGUAAAUAUUGGACGUGCGGCUCGAUUAUACGGUAUGUAACGCUGUCCCUUCUUUCUUUGCUUGGCAUGACUUUUAAAAAUAAGCGAAUAACGGACAGAUUUGAUACUUACCUCUAAAGCGUCUAGGUGAUGUAUAUUCUUGCUUCCACAAUUAUUCCUCUAUAUAUUGGCUAUGUCUAAGGCUAUGAUGACCUCUAAUAUCUAUGGUAAUGCUUCUUAGAGUCAUUGAGAUUUUACGUUUCCAUAUCGUGUUAAAGGUUCAUAAUCUUGAUAAAACAUUAAUCUUUGGUAAUACUCCUUGCUGGUUCACGUUGAUUGUUCUAUUGAGUUAUAAGAAAUGAUUUUAAUUGCAUAUGGUUGCUCAUAAUAUUCUGCUCGUGCAUAGAGUCAUUUAUCAUUUCACCGAGUCCCGGGCCGGGUAAUGUUCGUGCGGAGUUUCUUGCAUAUGUCACCGAGUUCCUCACUAGAGGACCGGGUAUGUAUAUUAUAUAUAUGAUUGGUGAUGAGGAUGGUUAUGAUGAUGAUGAUGACGGAGAUGACGUGAUGAUUAUUUUGCCGAGCCCCUUACUAGGGAAGCUGGGCACCUUAAAUGUUAAAUAUAUGCAUGAUUUUCACUUAAAAGGUAUAUGUGUAGCGAUAUUUUGUUUCGACUUGCCAUAUUGGUAUCCUG
Molecule: long non-coding RNA, 60855 nt
Filed under: Solanum lycopersicum (tomato)
Lineage: Eukaryota; Viridiplantae; Streptophyta; Magnoliopsida; Solanales; Solanaceae
Description: long non-coding RNA (SLYC_LNC000915)
Source: RNAcentral